Molecule: long non-coding RNA, 60805 nt
Filed under: Vitis vinifera (wine grape)
Lineage: Eukaryota; Viridiplantae; Streptophyta; Magnoliopsida; Vitales; Vitaceae
Description: long non-coding RNA (VVIN_LNC001294)
Source: RNAcentral
UUAGAAUCACUGCCAAACGCACUUCAAGUAUGAAAUAAGAUUUUGAAGCACAACCAUUGUGUUCUUGAGAAUUUGUUUAAGUAAAGCUUUAAGAUGCAUGUGCUUAACAUCCUAUUUUGGUUAGGCAUGAAUUAUAUUGGGCUAUAUGAAAUUUCUUUGCUGCACUCUCAAUUCCAAAGAUUAAUGGGUGGUUCUGUUACCACAGGUAUUGAACCUGCAGCAGCAGUUAAAAAAGAUGUUUUUCCAAAGGCACAAACCAAGGGAGUAACUGGAAGUUUCGGAAGAUUAAAAGCCCAGAGAGUGAAAGCUCUUACCACAAAGACAUCUAAGGCAAAGCGAGAGCUUAAUGAAUGUGAUGAUAAUGAACUAGAAGUAGAAGGUGCACCCUCCCGAAGAUCUAUUGGUUCACAUUCUGAACUUGAAUUCAUGGAUGAAAAGAAGAAAUUGCUCAUACAUGGAGGAAAUGCUUCAAGGGCUUUCAGAAGACGAGAAAUCAAGGAUGUGAUUCAAACAACAGGGGAAAUCAAAGAUAAGAUCCAUUCUGAUAAAACUGUGAAACGUGACAUUGGGAAGUUCUCAGAGCUUCAAAUUACACCAGAAAAACCUCACAGAUCUGACAACAAAAUAGCUGGAGCAGAUGUUCUAGUUCCAAGAGUUUCUACUGCUAAUUUACAAGGAUGGGGUUAUGGGGAGACCAUGCGUAACUUUGAAUUUGAAACGACUAACAUUCCAAAGCGACGGGGAAAAGGAAACUCAUUGGCUGACAGUGAUUUUUUCAGCGGAAAAUCCUUUAGAGACCUAGGGUGCAGUGACUAUAUGAUUGAAUCCCUAAGGGGUCAGCUUUUUGUACGCCCUUCACAUAUUCAGGUAUGCGAAAGUAAUGUCUCCUGUCCCUAUUAUUGCUGUUGUUAUCAUUAUUAUUUUAUUUAAAUUUCUUUGCUGAAGGGAAAACAAGCUAAGUAGUUAAUAUUACAGGGACAGAGUUAUAAUGCACUUAUCCUGCAUGUAUAGAACUUGCUUAGUCAAUCAAAUGUGUACUGGUUCACACGUUAUGCCCAGAAACAUGCUGCUCAUGAGAUCUACUUUAAAUCUAACAUGUUUGCCUUACAAUGGUUGUUAAUGAUCCAGUGUGUGGACUUCAUUUCAUUUUUAUAUUUUAGAGCUUCUUACCAGCAAAGAACUCAUGUGAGAUUUUAUUCACUCAAUCAACUUAAUUGCACUUGCACCACCCACACCAAAAGAAAAAAAGAAACAAGUUUUUCUUCUUGUUCUUUUUCUUCCUAUUGUUUUAUUGAUUAAUUAUCUAUUAUCUAUUAUCUAUUAUCUAUUAUUUAUUUUGGCUAGGGUGGACUCUGAGAUUCAUGCCAUAGUUACAUUUUUCAGCUUUUGGAGAUUGCUAUGAUAGUUAUUUUGUAUCCUGAUGGGUAUCCAACUUCUAAUAUGUGUUAUUAUUACAUAUUCUAGAUUUUAGUGCCUCCUUAAUGGGAACCUUCAUAUAUGUUUUUCAAGUUGCAAUUUAAGGAUUCAGUUCAUUUGUACUCUGUUGCAAUUUUCUGUAAUACAUAUACAAAAUAGUAAAUUUUCUUAGAGCGCCUGAUACUGUCAACAUACUGGAUUGUGAAGUUCAUGUUAAGAAGUGUUGCUAUAAGGUGUACAACCAAAAACCUUAUUUUUAAAAUUUAAAUUUAAAUUUUUUAAUUUUUAAUUUUUAAUUUCAAGGUCAAAGCUCUUAUCUGUCCAUUGAAUCACUUAAAAAUCCGUUCCCACAUCUAGUAAAAAUGUACCUAUUUGUUAAAUAUGAUUCAUAUUCAUGGUUAACAUAUUAAAUAAUUGCAGGCCAUGGCGUUUGCAACUGUUAUGGAGGGAAAAAGCUGUAUUAUAGCUGAUCAAAGUGGAUCAGGAAAGACAUUGGCAUAUCUUCUCCCAGUAAUUCAGCGUCUUAGGGAAGAGGAGCUCCAAGGUCUGGGCAAGUCCUCUGCAGGAUGCCCUCAAGUCGUUAUACUGGUGCCAACUGCUGAGUUGGCUUCUCAGGUCAGUUUCUGUACAUGGUUUACUUUGACUUCUUACUCUUCCCAUACAUUUAACUGUGUUUCUCUGCACAGAAAGACCUAGCUAGACCCCAUAAAAUUAAAAUAUUAUUUCAUGCUUGCAAUUGCAGAGUCUAAAGAAAUACUCCUCACAUUUGAUCAACCUUGAGGACUUUUGAACGUCGUUUAACUGAUAGGAAUCUUUUUUUUUUUUUUUUGAUCAGUAAACGGAAUAUAUUAACACAAGACAAAAAAGCCACAUAGCAUACAGGCAGUAUACAAAGCGGCAAAGGCCUCACAACCAAAAAGAGAGAUAGGAAUCUGUUGAAUAUAAUGUAUGUAUAGUAUACUAUCUUUCCUUGUUAAUAUAGGUCACAUGUAUGGUAGUUAGGACUCCUAGCCUUGUAUAUAUAUAUCUCUCAAUUGUAAGUAGAGAUUAGAUGAAUGAAAAUAAGGUUUUUCUCCUUUCUCUCUCUCUCUCUCAACAUGGUAUCAGAGCCAAAGGAGAAAACCUAAUUUUUCGGUUUAGCCGUGUACUCAAUUCCGGCGAACCCUCUCUUCCCGAACCACCCCGGACAACCUCAUCGCCGUCGGAUCUCCACCACGCCGGCAACCCUUUCCGGCGAAUUUUUCCGGCGACCUCUUUUCCGGGCACCGACCACAUAUUCCGAACCGCCGGAGGCUGAUCUACACGCCAGUGGAAACCCCACCGGCAACCGGAGUCUCACGCGCCCCCACGCGCCGAUCUUCCCCGUCGGACUGUCACCCACGCGCCGGCGCGUGACGGCGCGUGGCUCACUUUCCGGCCACGUCCGACACAUCUCCAGGCUCGUCCGGCGGCGUCUUGGCCUUCUAGCCCUCCGGCAGCCCCCCCCGAGCCCUGCAUCUCCACCUUUUGUUCUUUUUUUGGCUUUCUUGCCAUUCCGACCACAUCUGACAGGGCUUCCUCUCCAUCUCCGAGGCUUGGGUACUGCUUCUCUUCCUCUCCAGGCACGUCACGACCUUUUUCUCCGUUGAUUGCACCUCUCACAGCCGUGGUCUCACUGUUUGUCUCUCUCCGCCGAAAUCUGCACCCAUCUUAGGGCUCUCUUCGAUCCAAAUACGUGAAUAUGACCAUCAAAAAUCAGAUCUUUACCUCUGUUCUCUCUGGAUCUCCUCUGAUUACCUCAGAGAAAUUGAUUGGCAGUGAGAAUUAUCUCUCCUGGUCUGCCUCUGUUGAACUUUGGUUUAUGGGUCAAGGAUAUGAAGAUCACUUGGUUACCCAGGAGGCAGAUAUCCCUGAGGUUGACCGCGUACAGUGGAGGAAGAUAGAUGCCCAGUUAUGUAGUGUAUUAUGGCAAUCGGUUGAUCCCCGGAUUCUUCUUCAUCUUCAGGCCUAUAAAACUUGUUUUAAAUUUUGGACUCAGGCCAAAGGAUUAUACACGAAUGAUAUCCAGCGUCUCUAUAAGGUGGCUUCUGCUAUUGUCCAUCUCAGCCAACAGGACUUGGAUCUAUCUACUUAUAUUGGUCAGAUUGCCUCUCUUAAGGAGCAGUUCUUGACUGUGAUGCCUCUUACUCCUGAUGUUGGGGCUCAACAAACGCAGCUUGACAAGUUCUUCAUGGUCCUUACUCUUAUUGGCCUCCGUCCGGAUCUUGAGCGUAUUCGUGAUCAGAUUCUUGGUAGUUCAUCAGUUCCGUCCUUGGAUGACGUGUUUGCUCGCCUCCUCCGUCUCUCGUCCACACAGACUUUGCCAUCUGCUAGCGCUUCAGAUUCUUCUGUGUUAGUUUCUCACACUACCUCUCGAGGAGGACGCAGUGGUACCCGAGGUAGAGGCCAACGUCCUCAUUGCACCUAUUGCAAUAAACUUGGCCACACUCGUGAUCGUUGCUAUCAGUUACAUGGAAGACCUCCUCGCACUGCCCAUAUGGCCCAGUCCUCUGAUUCUCCGCUGCCUCAGCCUCCGAGCUCCUCUGCAUCUCAGACAUCUCAGGCUUCUAUUGCCUCUGUUGCCCAGCCUGGUAAUGCCUCUGCUUGCCUUACCCACACAUCGUCUCUUGGACCCUGGAUUCUAGAUUCUGGAGCAUCUGAUCACCUAUCUGGUAAUAAGGAUCUUUUCUCCUCUAUUACUACUACCUCUGAUUUACCUACUGUUACCUUAGCUAAUGGUUCUCAAACUGUGGCUAAAGGUAUUGGUUUGGCCCUUCCUCUGCCUUCUCUACCUCUCACUUCUGUCCUUUAUACUCCUGAAUGUCCUUUUAAUCUUAUUUCCAUCAGCAAAAUCACUCGUACUCUUAAUUGCUCUAUUACCUUUUCUGAUAAAUUUGUGACCUUGCAGGACCGGAGUACGGGGAAGACGAUUGGCAUAGGACGUGAGUCUCAAGGCCUUUAUCACCUCACCUCAGAUUCAUCUCCUGCAGUUUGCAUUUCCACUGAUGCUCCUCUCCUCAUUCACAAUCGUCUGGGCCACCCUAGUCUCUCCAAGUUCCAGAAGAUGGUUCCUCGUUUUUCCACUUUGUCGUCGCUUCCGUGUGAGUCAUGUCAGCUUGGGAAACAUACUCGUGUCUCGUUCCCAAAGCGUUUGAAUAAUCGGGCAAAGUCUCCUUUUGAGCUUGUCCACACUGAUGUUUGGGGUCCUUGUCGGACUGCGUCUACUUUAGGAUUUCAGUAUUUUGUCACUUUCAUUGAUGACUAUUCUCGAUGUACUUGGUUAUUUUUAAUGAAAAAUCGAGCUGAGUUAUUCUCUAUUUUCCAGAAAUUUUAUACUGAAAUCCAAACCCAGUUCAAUAUUUCUAUUCGUGUGUUACGCAGUGACAAUGCCAGGGAAUAUUUUUCAGCCCAAUUUACUUCGUUUAUGUCUCAUCAUGGAAUUCUUCAUCAGUCUUCUUGUGCUCAUACUCCUCAACAAAAUGGGGUAGCUGAACGCAAGAAUCGACAUCUUGUUGAGACAGCUCGUACUCUCCUCCUCCAUAGUCACGUUCCUUUUCGUUUUUGGGGGGACGCUAUUCUUACCGCUUGUUAUCUGAUUAAUCGUAUGCCCUCCUCUGUCUUACACGAUCAGAUUCCUCACUCCCUUCUUUUCCCUGACCAACCACUUUAUUUCCUUCCUCCUCGUGUCUUUGGUUGUACUUGCUUUGUUCAUAUUCUCACUCCUGGACAGGACAAGCUUUCCGCCAAAGCCAUGAAGUGCCUCUUCUUGGGAUAUUCCAGACUUCAGAAGGGUUAUCGUUGUUAUUCCCUUGAGACUCAUCGGUACUUUAUCUCCGCUGAUGUCACCUUCUUUGAGGACUCACCAUUCUUUUCUACCACUUCUGAGUCUCUUCCCGUUUCUGAAGUCUUGCCCAUUCUCAUUGUCUCCCCACCUGAAGCUAUGCCCCCUCGACCACUUCAGGUUUAUCAUCGUCGCCCGCGUGUCGUUGCUCCUCUCCCUUUUCCUGAGACACCUGCUGACUCACUUCCUAUCCCUUCGGCUUCACCUGCCCCGGCUCUGCCUUCUCCUCAUGACUUACCCAUUGCUGUUCGGAAAGGUACUCGCUCUACUCGUAACCCUCAUCCUAUUUACAAUUUUUUGAGUUAUCAUCGAUUAUCUUCACCCUAUUCUGCUUUUGUUUCUGCUAUAUCCUCUGUUUCUCUUCCCAAGAGCACCCAUGAAGCUCUUUCCCAUCCAGGCUGGCGACAGGCAAUGGUGGAUGAAAUGGCUGCUCUGCACUCUAAUGGCACUUGGGAUCUUGUUGUUUUACCCCCUGGUAAAUCUACAGUUGGUUGUCGUUGGGUCUAUGCAGUUAAGGUUGGUCCUGAUGGUCAGGUUGAUCGCCUUAAGGCCCGCUUAGUUGCUAAAGGCUAUACUCAAGUUUAUGGUUCUGAUUAUGGUGACACAUUCUCCCCUGUUGCCAAGAUUGCUUCUGUCCGCUUGCUUCUCUCCAUGGCUGCUAUGUGCUCUUGGCCUCUUUAUCAGUUGGAUAUUAAAAAUGUCUUCCUUCAUGGUGAUCUUGUCGAGGAAGUUUAUAUGGAGCAACCUCCUGGUUUUGUUGCUCAGGGGGAGUCUGGUUUAGUGUGCAGGUUACGCCGUUCUCUAUAUGGCUUGAAACAAUCUCCUCGAGCAUGGUUUAGCCGUUUUAGUUCUGUUGUUCAAGAGUUUGGCAUGCUUCGCAGUACAGCAGACCAUUCAGUUUUUUAUCAUCAUAACUCCUUGGGGCAGUGUAUUUAUCUGGUUGUUUAUGUGGACGACAUCGUCAUUACAGGCAGUGAUCAGGAUGGUAUACAGAAACUAAAGCAACAUCUUUUUACCCACUUUCAGACCAAAGACUUGGGAAAACUCAAGUAUUUCUUGGGAAUUGAGAUAGCUCAAUCCAGUUCUGGUGUGGUCCUUUCUCAAAGGAAGUAUGCUUUAGACAUCCUGGAAGAAACCGGUAUGUUAGACUAUAAACCGGUAGACACACCUAUGGAUCCGAAUGUCAAACUUGUACCAGGACAGGGGGAGCCUUUAGGAGACCCUGAGAGAUAUCGACGGCUCGUAGGUAAAUUGAACUAUCUCACCAUUACUCGUCCAGACAUUUCUUUUCCUGUGAGUGUUGUUAGUCAAUUCCUACAGUCACCAUGUGAUAGCCAUUGGGAUGCCGUAAUCCGUAUUCUUCGAUAUAUCAAAAGUACACUAGGCCAAGGUGUAUUGUACGAGAACAGAGGUCAUACUCAAGUUGUUGGUUACACAGAUGCAGAUUGGGCUGGGUCACCCACAGAUAGACGUUCCACUUCAGGGUACUGUGUUUUUAUUGGAGGUAAUCUAAUAUCUUGGAAGAGUAAGAAACAAGAUGUAGUGGCCAGAUCUAGCGCUGAAGCCGAGUAUCGAGUUAUGGCUUUGGCAACAUGUGAACUCAUAUGGUUGAGACAUCUUCUUCAGGAGUUGCGAUUUGGAAAGGAUGAACAGAUGAAACUCAUCUGUGAUAACCAGGCCGCGUUACAUAUUGCAUCCAAUCCAGUCUUCCAUGAAAGGACCAAGCAUAUUGAAGUUGACUGUCAUUUCAUUAGAGAGAAGAUCGCAUCAGGAUGUGUUGCUACAAGUUUUGUCAAUUCAAAUGAUCAACUAGCAGACAUCUUCACUAAAUCUCUCAGAGGUCCUAGGAUUAAAUAUAUUUGUAACAAGCUUGGUGCAUAUGACGUAUAUGCUCCAGCUUGAGGGGGAGUGUUGAAUAUAAUGUAUGUAUAGUAUACUAUCUUUCCUUGUUAAUAUAGGUCACAUGUAUGGUAGUUAGGACUCCUAGCCUUGUAUAUAUAUAUCUCUCAAUUGUAAGUAGAGAUUAGAUGAAUGAAAAUAAGGUUUUUCUCCUUUCUCUCUCUCUCUCUCAACAGAAUCUUUAAGCAUUAAAUAAAUAUUCUCUCAAAUAAACUUCAUUGAACACAAAUAAAACAUAAAAUGAGCUCUAAAUUUCCCCUUCUAAACGAAACAGAAAUAUUAUUAGAGAUAAAUAAAAACAUCAUUACAUAGAAGGAUGAGAUAUCCUUCACAAAUUUUCUUCAAAUUUCAACCUCAACCUUCCUUAAUCUCCUUGAAGUUAGUAAGAAAAUAAGAAAUGUUGUGAAAUAGAAUGCUACAUGUGAGUAAAGCAAUAGAUUCUAUGGUACCUAAUCAUUUAUAAGUCAAUACUCUUCUAUUUUUUUGGCUUUGUUAGAAAACCCAUCCACUGUGAUUUUUACUCAAGUAGCUUCUGAAAAGUGCUAUUCUUUAACCUGUGAGGAUAUGAUACUUAGAUUUUCUUUUAUUCUAUUAUUUAAUUAGUAUCUCUCUUUAAACAAUAGGAGAGACUCGAACUUGAGACCUCUAGUUAAACAUUGCUCUUCUACCAUGUUAAGCUGUUUGCUUUAUUAAAAACUUAACCUGUUAGGAUAUGGACACACAAUAUAUGUGAGGCUAACAUAUAUGAAAUAUAUAAAACAUGAGUUGGUGAGGAAAUGUUUUCAUUACCAAUGAAGUUUUCUAUGCAGUAGAGAACUAACUGUCACAACCAAAUGGAUUUCAAGGGUGAGCUAUAUAAGGCAACAAUUGUCUUUUGACAUUAUUGGGAUAUUUCCCCCAAAACACUUCAUCUUCAUGGUGGUAUGUUUGAGGGAUGUUUUGCUCUCAUGCUUUGAGUGACAGCAUUGAACCAUGGGGUUUUGUCGAGUUACACUUAUUGUGGGUGAUUUUAUGAUCUAUGUUGCAUAGAUGUGGAAACAAUGACAUGUCUAGGAGAAUCCUCUUUGUAGUUGUGUCCUAGGAAUAUCAAAUGUAGUAUCAAAGAGGAAACAACAUGUUUAUUUUGAAUCUUUCAAUGUGUUGAUUUCUAAGCUAAGUGAUUUUGUCAUUCUUAAAGAUUCCUCAUCCAUUAGUAAUAGUGUAAAUCUGGUCCUAUUAAGACUUAAUUCAGCCUAAGUUACUUGAUAUUCUUUGUUGUUAAAUGACUUAUCAAAAAAAGAUAUUCUUUGUUGUUAAAUAUCUAAUAGUUUAAAAUUUUGGGUGAAAUUGUUAGUUCAUCUUGGUAUUAGAGCCUUAUUUGUUAGGUCAUGAUGGGUUCAAACCUUUCUAGUUGAGGUCAUAAUUUGGUUAUGUACUUUCCCUAGUUAUUAAAUUCACAUGCAAGUGAGGCAAGGUGUUAAAGCUUUAGUCCAGGUCAGCUUGAUGUACACCUUUAGCCUAUUACCUAACAACUUAAGCUUUUUGGUCAAAUUGGUAGCUUAAUAGUUUGAAACCUUGUUUGAAAUUUCAGACCCAAGCCUAACCGUACCCAACCACUAGGCCACCUUGAGGACAGGUUAAGGCCCCCUCGCCAUUCACCCAUAUGAGUUAUAAAUGGCCUGGAUCCCAACUUGGUUUGAGGCUUGCCAGGGCCUUGAAGGGGAGCACCCAAGCUUGAGUCUAGAAGCUGAUGCACAGUUUAACUUGCCAUGUUACACCCCUAUCUAUCAGUUUAGUCACAAGCCUGCAGAAUUCUAUAUUCAAAACCCUUCCCAUACACAUUAGUUAGUUAUCCUUCAACCUAUCUCUCCUUAAUAUGCCUUUGUUGAAAAGAUACAAAUGACUAAUGCUGUUUCAGCAUAGACAAAAGAACAUGGAUAAGGAGUUUUAGUGUUGGAAAACUGAAACUAAUAUGGAAAGAAAUAACUUUGUAAAGCUGUAAAUUAUUUAUUAGUUGUCAAUCUUUGUAUUUUUAGGAAAGUAAUUAUUAGGAAUUAUUUAUUACUUGUCAAUCUUUGUAUUUUUAGGAAAGUAAUUGUUAGGAGUUAUUCUUUCCUUUUAAUCAGUGAUUUAGUUUCCUAAUUUAAAGGAUUUGUAUAUGUUGUAAACUCUAUAAAAGAAUAAUCUCAAUGAAAGAAAAUUAUUCCCAUGAAACCCUAUUCUUCAACUUUUAGACAUGUGCUUGAGGAGUUAGACAAGUGUGAGCGUCCAGACACCAACAUAGCCACACUCUGAAAAUGUCCGUGUUGCUUCAUUUAGGAUCUAGAGAUGCAAAAUUCAGAGGCAUUCAAUUGUGGCAGGCCAGGUGUUACAUUAAGCUGUAGUAGUGUCUCAGUACAUGUGUAGGUACUUCCUAAAAGAUGGUACAUGUGCAGGUUAAUAUAGGAUUUAUCCAGGGAACUUCACCAUGCUUUUGCACUCCUAAUUUAUAACUUUUCUAAGUUUAUGAAAGUUAUAAAGUGGGCUAUGAUGGCUGCAUAGAUGAGCAGAAUCUGACAUUAAUUUUAAGCCUUUGCAGUUCGCAGAAAUAGUUUUUUUGGGUGUCAGGAAAUCAUAUGUAGCCGAAAUGUUCAUUUUAAACUAAGCCUCAUUUUUUUCAAUCCCAUUGGAUAUGUGCUCUUUCACAAAGGUUGUUUUGUCAUAUGCCUCUUGAUAUGGCAGAUUCUGUUCAUGUUUAAGAGAAUGAUGUUGUUUGACUUUUGUUUUUCAAGAUGAGAUUUUGUUAUGUCUGUGGAAGCUUUAAUGCAAACAAUGUAGUUCAAGAACACAAGGAUAAAACAAUCCACACAAAGGUACACGAGGUUUUAAUGUGGUUCAACCAAACACACCUACAUUCAUGGAUGAGAAAGAUUAUUUCACUAUACCAUAGAGAAUAUGAUAGAGGACAAAAACAUAUACAACUAUUGAGUUCUUGAAACAUCCUAUGUUUCCCCACUCCUUAUAUCUACUCUUGAACCAUGAGCCCCUUGCUCCAUCGGGUGUCUCUCAUUCUUCCUCACAUCUCUAUCCACCCCAUAUAGUCUUUACAAGCUCAUCUCCAUCUCAUAUCUUUUUUCCCUCUUGACCUAGAAUAUUUAUCAUGAUAUUCCUAAUAAUUUUCCUUAUUCUAUAAGGAAAUCUAAUAUUACAAUAAUUUAUCAACUUAUGAAAUAUUUUUUGCAUUAUAGCAGUUGAUAUAAUGUAAGUGUUCACAUUUUCAGGUGUUAAGUAAUUGCCGAUCAAUCUCAAAAUUUGGGGCUCCAUUCCGUUCCAUGGCUGCGACAGGUGGUUUUCGACAGAGAACUCAAUUGGAAAAUCUACAACAGGAUUUGGAUGUUCUAAUUGCAACCCCUGGUCGUUUUAUGUUCCUAAUUAAAGAAGGCUUCUUGCAGUUAACAAAUCUUAGAUGGUAACCUAUAAACUUUUGUUUUUUCAUUAAAACCUUGCAUCACUUAUAUAUUGACCUGAAUGAGAAUUAAAAAACGUGGGUUCUUUUUGUUUGAAUUUGAGUAAUGGCUAUCAUCCCUGUGUUAUGAACGUUUUUCUAAGCAUAGAGCAAGCAAUGAUAUCAUCAUUGUAGUUGUCAUCAUAAGCAUCACUAUCAUCAUAGUUAUUAUUUUGAACAAAAGAUAAGUGAUGUACAUAUAAUAUAUUUUUUGAUUUAAACAAGUGAAUUCACUGAUCAUCUUUGGCACUAUUUUUACAACAAUAUUUGAAACUUAAAAGAUUUUGAGAUUUAACUUCCACAAUUUCUAAUCUCCAUGUUUCUUCUCCCAGUCUUUCUUUUUCUUUUCCUUCAGAUUUCAAAAGCGGGUUCUGGCUAAGAAUAUAUAAGCAUGAUAUAACACCAUGAUUGUAUGCUAGUUAAAAAUUAAAUAGAUUAACCACUAAUGAAACAUGCAGAUUUUUAGUUUUGCAAUCAGUUUCUUUUAGGACGCUAGGGGAAUUAUCCACAAAAUGUUUGUUGUAUUGUUGUAUGUCAUGUUAUUCUUUCGAACCUUGGUAAGAAGCUACAGAGAUGUCAGUAAUCUAGCAAAGCUUUUUGUUGUAAAAAAUUGUGAAUGAUCGAUUUGUGGUGAUAAAAACAACAGAAGGCCCAGGUGCAAAAAUUAUAAUUUAUCGUAAAAAAACAAACUGUGCAAGUGGAAUAUGAUCCUUUUAUUUCUUUUUUAUUUAUUAUUUAUUUUACCAUAAGAAAGGAAAUGAAAUUUAUAUUGCUAGAGAAGGAUACAAGAAAUUGAGGAGAUUACUUGAAGGAGAACAAAGUAAGAAGCAAUAAUACUGAUUGCUCAAAUUUCUAUAAAGGGAUAUUUUUGUGUUGAACCAAAUAUUUUAAGUGUUUGUGCCCCUCUUUACUAGAUAACAUUCUUCAGAAUUAAUCAAUUUUUGAUUGAUCUGGAGGACAUUCCGGGAAAUUAUCUAACUCACCAACCUCCUUGAAACAUGUAUGAGCCUCUGAGGAUUCUUGAACCCCUUCUGUCCAAGAAAAUAAAGAAUGACUUUGCCUAGUUAGUAGGAUAUGUGCACACAUACUCGAAGUGUCUUUCAUCAUCAGGACAACACAAAAAAUUGACAUCUAUUUAUGUCACCAUGCCUCAGGAAGCAUGAUAAGUUCCUGCUACUUCUUGCUUUCCUUACUAAAAGAUUCGUGUGAUACUGAUUUGAUUCCCCAAACAUCAUCCUUGGAUAACUCCUCUGACAGGGAACUACAAGAAUGAGAAAGGAAGUAUGGUUUUGCCCGUACUUGUCUUAUUGUAAGGACCAUUUUGUUCUAAUUUUGGAAUAAUGGAGAUAUAUUAAUUGAUUUUCCCUAACUGAAAGAAGCCAUGUUAAGGUAAAGCAAGGCCAGUUUAGUGUUUUAAAAGAUAUUCCUUUUUCUUUAGCUAAGAAUAACCCUCUGCCAGCUUGAGGGCAUGAGAGUUAAUUCUCCUCUAGUGACCUUCAAGUAACAUAAGAUAGAUCUCUGGAGGGGAGGGUAAGUGUCAUUUCACGAAUCUCUGGUCAGGGUAUGUUGUCAGACCUCAUGGGUGGUAAUUGUAAUUCGUCCUUUUUAUAAGAGACCUGAUUACUUUUCUUUGUGGUGCUAAUGUUAACUAAAAUCUUAUUUUGCAGUGCCGUGUUGGAUGAGGUAGAUAUACUACUAAAUGAUGAAGAUUUUGAGCUAGCGCUGCAGACUUUAAUUAAUUCUUCCCCUGUUACCAUGCAAUAUCUCUUUGUGACAGCAACUUUACCAGUAGGCAUAUAUAACAAACUAGUUGAAGUUUUUCCUGACUGUGAAGUGAUCAUGGGACCUGGUAUGCACCGAAUAAGCUCCAGACUUGAGGAGGUUAGUUCUUGUAACAAUCCUGGUUUAUUGUUUUCCCACUAUAUUGCAAUCAGAAUAUGGAUGCGUUUAAAUUCUGAAACUACCUGUUAAAUUAGCAGCUUAUGCAAAGGCUCCCAUAUUAAGGUUCAUUACUCAUCUGCACUUUGUACCUGCAGCAGACCAAGGGAAUCUCAGUCUAGCUUCCUGAUGAUUUAAUUAUGGAGAAGAUUCCAAAUUGGUACUGUUAGGAUGAAAGUGAGGAGAAGAUUCAUUUAGAAAUAGGUUUAAGUUGUUCGUUUUGACAGUACAUAAUUUUAAUUUCAAGAGUCUCAUUACAAGUUGACUAGCACUAGAGGUGAAAUAAAGGACUUUAAUUUAGAAGAAUGCAGAUAUUAUAUAAAUAUAGAUAUAGGUAUCAUUUAUCACCACCACCACCAUCAUCAUCAUCAUCAUCAAGAUUAAAUUUGAUGUGGACAGCAUGAUUAUUUUACAUAAAUGAAACUCCUCUUUGAGAGUUCACUGUAUUUUUCUGUUCAGUGUACUGAAAAAAUGAAAUGAACUUUCUAAACUUUUGGUUAUAUGAAUGCAAGCGGUGAUUUAGACACAGAAAACUGGCUCUCACUUCAUUUUCAGUAGGGACUCUAUAUCAAUAAUAAUAGCUACCACUGAAUAAUGAUUUAUACUGUAUUAAUAUAGACCCAUUAAAGAAAAAGGAAAUAUUCAGGUUCUUGUUGAAUUAGUAAUCAGGUGCCAUGUACAGGUUCUUGUUGACUGCAGUGGAGAUGAUGGGACAGAAAAAACUCCUGAAUCGGCCUUUCUCAAUAAGAAAUCUGCUCUUUUGCAGCUUGUGGAGGGAAGUCCAGUUUCCAGAACAAUUGUUUUCUGUAACAAGGUAAGCUUGAACAUCAAGUGCAGAAAACCUAUGAAACAUAAGGAAGUUUUUACAUUAGUUUUUGCCUUCUCAAUUAUGUGCAGAUUGAGACAUGUAGAAAGGUUGAAAAUGUAUUAAAGCAUUUUGAUAGAAAAGGAGUUCGUUUGCGAGUUUUAGCAUUCCACGCUGCAUUGACUCAGGAGUCUAGGCUAGCAAAUUUGAAGGAGUUCCUCAAUUCUCACUCUGAAGGAGUCUCUCUCUUUUUGGUUUGCACUGAUAGGUACUGUGCUUACUUACACAUUUCUUUUUCUGGUCUUGACAUAUACUUGCUACUUGGACUUCAUUUUUUCUCAUUUCCAUAAAAAAAACACAUUCAGUCACAAGCAACUUGAUGCUUUUGAAAUUUAUGGCAGAGCAUCUCGUGGGAUCGACUUUGCCAAAGUGGAUCAUGUUGUACUCUUUGACUUCCCCCGUGAUCCAAGCGAAUAUGUACGACGAGUUGGAAGAACAGCCAGAGGUGCUGGAGGAAAGGGGAAGGCAUUUGUGUAUGUGGUUGGUAAGCAGGUUUCUCUUGCAAGGAGGAUCAUAGAAAGAAACAAAAAGGGCCACCCCUUGCACAAUGUUCCAUCUGCCUAUGAGCUCAUGAGUUAGAAAGGAGCUACAUGUAAAAAGAAAAAGAAUGGAAUGUGAACCAGAGUAUCCAUGUCUUCUGGUUCAGUUUAAUCACUUAACUAUUAUGUAACAGGUCCCAACAUUAAUUGAAUCAUAUUUUGGCACCCAAUGCUUGAUAGCAACAUGCAUUUUUUCCUCUUCUUGAAUGUGGUUUUCCCAUGAGUUAAAAUGUGGUACCCAAUGUUUGUUCCCUCAUACCUUGAUUCUACUUGUAUCUUCAUUCAACGAUCUAGAUUUUAUCACACAUAUUCAACAGGUACACACCAAUUCUGAAUCCUAGGAUUUUCCAAAUCCAUGCUUCAAAAAAGCUUUUUUCUUCCCCUUGUUGGUAUAAGAACAGGGAAAAAAAGACAAUGGAAUUACUAAAAAUAAUUAUAUAAUUAAAAAUACUCAUUUUUUAACAAAAAAAUCAUCAUUUUUUUCUUAUAAAAAUACCCUCUUUUUAAAAAUCUUAUAUGUAAAUAAUCCAAAUAUUAAAGAGCAUCAUGUCAAAAUUUGAUUAUUUUUCAAGUUCAAACAAGGGCAUGUCAAAUUUACAAAUUUGGGAAAAUUUCAUCUUGUUUUAAAUUUUUAAUCAAUUAAUGCAAAAUAAUAUGACUGCUAAAUGCUAAGACGACAAGAUGCUCAAAUCCCACUAAUUGGGUGUGGGGAGGCCCAACAGGUCUGGACCUGGGCGGAGGCCUGACGCCCGAAGCCUGAAGGAUAUGUAAAAGAGAAGGAUAAGGUUUGGUUCGGAAGAGGGUCGAAAACGCAGAAGGUAGUGUUGUAGGUGUAGUUUCAGUCUUGUUAGUGGGGGUUUUGAGAGCAACGAUGUGUGCGUCACUGUCGUUCCUCCAGAGCGCUUUCGCUUCUUCGCAACAGCUUCCUCUCCUUCCUAAGUUUGCGGCUGCAAAGCCACUCCUCCCUUCAUUCCCAAUUAUUGAAGCUAAAGCCAAAACCAGAAGAGAAGACAGAACUGCUCGUCACGUUCGAAUUAGAAAGAAGGUAUUCUUCUCUUGAUUUUUCCUUGCUCUUGGGUCUAACCCCAGCUCCCCUUAUUUCAAUUAUAUUCUCUGCCGUAUUCGGGUGAGAUAGUGGAUACAACUGCCUCGUAUUUGUUGUUAAAUGUUCCUCACCCACACCCAUCCUCUGUCGGAAAAGAGUUGUUUCCAAUUUCUGUAUUCUCAUACAUGCCACAUUCUCUACCAUCUUUAUACCCAAUAAUUUUCAGAUCAGACUGAACUUCACUGCUCACAUCUCCAACAUGUGCUUUAAAAUUUGCAUCAUUUGGACUAUGAAACAGGAAUUUUCUCCAAAAUUUUGACCCAAUGGCAAGUGCUUCCUGGUUCCCACCCCUCAAUUCAGAGCCCCAUUUCCUGUGUAUGUUAUACUGUAUUUAAACUUGGGAUAAGAAUAAAUAUAAUUUCUUUAUGCUAGUAUUUUGGGUAUGAUUUGAAGCGUGGGUGAGUAGGAUUUCAUGUGUGAUGUUUCCUAAUGAAAGAUUGUCGACAUCUUUAGGGUUGUGGUGAAAAAAGAAGGGUGGAGAAACAUAAGGCCAUUUGACAGGGAGAGGUGGCGAACUGGAAUUUGGUGUUUGUUUGAAACUUCCAUGAUUAGGAAUUGCAAUGUUAUCCCUUUCUUUGAGACUCUAUUUGGUAAUGGUAUGUAGUGGGGUGAAGUCAAUGGUGUUUACACAGAACUUUUAGGUUUGGAAUUUAUCCAUUGGUGACAAAAUAAAACUUUCUGCCACCCAAAUUAUACCCUCAAACAGUUGGCUUUCUUUGUAUGUCUGGUGGCCUUCGACAAGUGUUUGGCAUUGGAUUAAUGCAAGUUGUUGCAAAAUUGCUUCAGAAUUAUGGCUUUUGUCCUCUUUUUAGUUCUGAUGGUUGAUGCCAAAGUCAAAGAUUUGAGCUCCUCUCGAAGUUGGAAUAUAGAGAAGGUAUCAAGAAUAUUUGGAUGUUUGCUGAGGUGAUCAGCAUGCUAUUGUUGGAAAUUUCAGAAAGGAAAGAACUGGAGAAUUUUUUAGGACGUAGAAGUAUUUUGGUGAUAUUGAAGCUUUUGUUGGAGAAGAGUUUUUUCUUGUGUAGUAUGGAAAAGGGAGUUGCUGAUGAUGUUUCUUGGGAAGGAAAAUUUGAGAUCAUAGUUUUGAAUAUAGUGCUAUACAAAAUGAGAUUAGGGCAAGAAGCAAAACCUUUCUUAUCUACUCUUAGUGGACAUUUCUUUGUGAUGCUUUUUGCUUAAUUCGUUUUCUUUUAAUCUCGCAAUUACUGGAAUCAUAUUUCUUACAAAUUGCCAUUAUACGGACAUCGUUCAGUUUUAUUCAAAAUUUCCCCUCUUCUCUUCUCAGUUUCAUGUUUUGGGCAUUGCACCAGCUCUUUUGUGGUCCAUUCUUUACCUGUCUAUUGUACUUAUCAAUGUCUCUCCUUCAUCGAUUUUCCCUCAGGUUGAAGGAACACCUGAAAGGCCAAGGCUGUGUGUCUUUCGUUCCAACAAGCAUCUCUAUGUCCAGGUGAUCGAUGACAGUAAGAUGCACACUUUAGCCUCAGCUUCAACAAUGCAGAAAUCCAUCUCUGAGGAGCUUGACUACAGUUCCAGUCCGACUAUUGUAAGUUCACAGAUAAGAAUAAAAGAUCAGCCGAUUCUAGAGGAGUUGCUUUUAGAGUGAGGUUUAACCAUCAUAGUGACUGCCCCAACUGCCUCAGCACUAAGUUUGUUGCAGUUGCAGUGCUCAGGUUGUAGAAGGACAUACAAUAAAUAUACAGUUUUUUCAUUGUUAAAGGGUCAUUUAUCUGGGCCAAAUGGAAUUUUCUUUUUACAAUGGGAUCCUAAUGCUUUUAGUAGAUGGUCACUGAAUGUAAAACUAAGUUUCUCAUCCAACUCUAUGAUCUUUCUACUUAUCAAUCUCUAUCUAUUUAGCCGGUUUUUUUAGCUAUCAGUAAGCCAUCUUUUAGGAUCAUUGAUUGUGCAUUCCUUUUGUUUCUUGCAUUCAAGGCUUGUGUGAGCCUUAUUGCUGUGUAUCAUCUGUUUUACUCUGGACACCCAGUUUGAUGAUUUGUUUCUUAUAUGAUGAAGCCUUUGAAUUUGAUAAUUUGAACAGAAUUACUGAUCUUUGCAAGCUUUUGGCACCAGGAAGUGGCAAAGAAGGUGGGGGAGGUGAUUGCAAGUGCCUGCUUGGAGAAAGGGAUUACAAAGGUGGCCUUUGAUCGAGGUGGAUACCCAUACCAUGGACGCGUUAAAGCCCUUGCUGAUGCAGCUCGCGAAAAGGGUCUUCAGUUCUAAGGCAUGGGCAGUCGGUUACUUUGUUUUAAAUUGAAUUUGACUAGCAUAACAUUUUUCCUUCUCUCUUGAGCUGCAAGAACUAAGAAGACAUCAAUCUGUGAAUGAGAUUUGCGCUUCUUCCAGUUGCUUUAAAGUUGGAUAUCAGGCCUUGAAUCUUAAAUCUAAAGACAAAUGCAUAUGAAGCUUUGAUCAUUUGCUGCUCCUCAUAAUUACUAAGAUUUAGAGAAAUUUACACUCACUUCUCUUGAAAUUAGACUUCAAGUUGUGUUUCAGACACAUAUGAUGAUGAAGGAAAAUGAUUCUUUUACACUUCUUCAAAUCAUUUCAAACUAUAAUUACUUAAUAAAUUAAGAACUUCAAACCUUAUCUUCGUUCUAAUUAAGAAGCUUAGUAUGAUCCAUCAAUGGAGUUCAGUUUAAUAUCCCAAAAUGGAGCAAAAGUAUAUGCAAUAUUGCUAACCCUGAUGAGAGGGGCGAUGUAAUCUUUCUUUUCUUUAAUCAUUUUUCAGCGUUCAAAAAACCAUUAAAUAAGGAGGGAGUUUGGGUGUGGUAGGCAAGUCUUCCGUUGACUUUGGUUGCCCUAGGUGAUUGCAAAAGUACACGUGGUUUUUUUUCAGUAAUUAUUUUUGAAAAUAAUUCUAAAGAAUAGUUUUUAAAAAUAAAAUUAUUUUUUAUUUUUAUCAAAUAAAAUUUUAUUUGAAAACCUAAAAUAUUUUUAAUCUAUUUUAAAUAUAUUUUAAAAAUAAUUUUUAUAUAUAAUAUUUUAUUUUUAAUUAUUCUAUAUAUCUAUAUAAUUAUUUUUUAAAACCGUUCUCAUAAAACAAAUAAAAAUAACUAAAAAAUAUUCUUUAAAAACACUUUAUUUUCUAUUUUUAAGAAUAAAAAACAGAAAACAAUUUUUUAUUGUUAACUGUUUUCUAUGUUUUUUUGUUUUAAAGAACAAAAAACCGUUCUAAAAAACUAUUUCCACCUUCAUUUCUAAAAUUGAUAUAACAUGUUGGCUCUAAAAAUCUCAUGAUCUUUAGUCUUUAUCCAAAAACCACUUUUACUCGUGGUUCUUAAUACAACACGAUCAUCCUUAUAAUGUGAACAUAGUUAUUAAAAUUUGAAGAAAAGUACACUAACUUGUUCUAAGAUUAUUAAACUUAUCCCAACAAGUAGUGUCGUGGCACAUCAAACAUUAGAAAAACAUUAAAAUAUUCAAAUCUUAUCUUCUUUCUAAUUAACAACCUUAAUCCUUCGAAUUCAUCAAGGCAGUUGGGUUUAAUAUUCCAAAAUGGAGGGAAAACUUAUGCAAAAUUGCUAAUCCUGAUGAGAGGUUGACGUGAUUUUCCUUUCUUUAAUUACUUUUCAACAUUCAACAAAACCUUAAAUAAUCAUAAUUCAAAACAAAAAGAUGAAGGCAACUGUCGGCGUGACAACACGUCUCUUAUUAUUUUAGAUGUGUGAUAAGAUCCAACAUCUUGGAAUAUCCCAUAAUCAUACGUGGCUCCAAACCCCAAAUCCUAGAAGUAGAAGAAAAGUCAAGGAAACCAUGAUGUCAAAGAACCUAAACAAACGAGGGUUAAUAAGUCAGAAUGCCAAAGGUCAAACAAGAUGAUGGGUUCCCUAUUCACAAUAAUUCAUGCCCUCCAAUCAUUGGAUUAAAAAAAUCAAACUUUAGUUUGAUUAUAAUAUGUUGUCACACAAAAACUUAAUCUAUCAUCCAAAGCAAGUUGAGGAGAAUUUUCCACUACCUAAUAUUUCAAUAUCAUUAGUGGUAGCAUCCCAACACGGAAUCCAAUCAUCACUGCCACAUUUUAUUUUAUUUGAUUCUAUUUUGUUAUAUGGAAUAAUACAAUUAUAGCUAAUCUAAGAUGUGGGCAAGGGCGAUUGGUUGUGAGGACAAUGAGUUGGUUAUUUUGUUUUGAUAUAUCUUGAUUUAGGAAAUUUUUUGUGAGUGACUUGUUCUUUAUUGAACAUUCAAAGGUAGUUGUUGGUUUAAUUGGAAAGCCAUAGAUAAGUUUAAAAAUGUUUAUUUAUUAGUAAGUUAAGUUAUUAAAUGGUUAAAAUAGAUCAAAACAUUUUUUAUGAAUUAAAAUGGCUUAAAUUAAUAUUUUGAAAAAAUAGGAAACACUCGAGCGAUGGGAGUACACUCGAGUGGUGGAAGUGUGCUUGAGUAAUCAUCCCAAAUAUACCAGAAAAUUGCAGAUUUAUUAUUUGGAAAUUCACGAGUAUUCUUUUUAAAAAUUUUGGGAUAUCGAUUGCUUAGGUCUAUAGGCCUUUAUAAAUCCUCUUUUAUUCCUUUUAGGAUAAGACACAUUAAAAGAAGAUCAAUCUAACUUGUCCUAUCAUUCUCAAUCUUUCAACAAAGAUUCAAUGUUUAAAUCUUUGGUUAUUAAAAGACUUGCAUCCAUUCAUUGAAGCUGAGGAGAAUUUACUAGGGCAAUUAGAAAUUGUUGCAGCACAAACAUAGAUCAAGUUGAAGGUUUGGAGAUUGUUGUGUCGCAAAUAUGAAUCAAGUUGGAGGUUACGGAAAGUAAGUAUUAGGGGUAAGUUAUUAGGUAAUUCUGUAUAACUUAAUUUCAAAUAGUAGAUUUUAGAUUUAAGGUCUUAGACCCUAUAUAUUUUUAUCUUUUCCACAUAAAAAUGUUUGUCUACCGUUUGAAUAUUUUAUUACUUUAAUAUUUAAUUGCUUUGAUUGAUUAUUCCUAUUAUCCCUCGAAAAUUCGGGUUAAUAUAAUUCAUCUCUUAAAUUAUAAUUUUUUUAAAAUAGUCAUUAAACCCUGAGUGUUACGUAGAUAAAUAGUUUUUCAAAUAUGAUUGGGUGUAAUAUUCAAUUAUUAUUAUUUUUUCCUUCAUUUUUUAAAAUCUCAUGAUACGAUUUCAAAUAAAUUGUAUUAAGUUACAUAUGGGCGGUGGGAUUUUAUUAUUUUAAUAUAAUUCGUCCCUUUUUUCGCUGAUGAGAAAAGGAUUCUACCUCUUCAACUGACCACCCACUAUAUAUAGGGUGGCGAAGGUGCCUGGUUGCCAAAUAUUUUGAACAUGCCAUGGGGACGAUGACCCAUUUCAGCUGAAGCCUGUCUCAUUCAUUUCCUAUUUAUAUAUAUAUUAAUUAAGGUUCUUCUCUGGAGGCCUUGGGUGUGGGUGUGGGUGUGGGCGUGGGCGUGGGGGUCGGUUUAGGGAUGGCGACAAAUGGAACAGCCAAGGUUUGCCCGGCGCCAAUGAAGGCAACGUCCAAUGGAUCCUUCCAAGGUGACAAUCCCCUGGAUUUUGCGCUUCCCCUCCUCAUCUUGCAGAUAUGCCUGGUCGUCGUCUUCACCAGAACGCUUGCCUUGAUUCUGAAACCUCUCAGACAGCCCAGAGUCAUUGCAGAGAUUAUCGUGAGUCCCCCCACCUCUCCUCUUCUCUUCUACAAAACCAGAACCAGCUUCCUCGAUUAUUGGCCACGUAUUUUUGAUAUGGCUCCGAUGUGAUAUGACGAUGAUAUUCUUUUUAUCUUACUGGUUUUUGUCGCUCAUGUUGUCCCAUAUUCCUUCAAAAUGCAGACAUAUUAAUGCAAAUACAAACCUAAAAAAUCAUCACCAAUGGAGAGCAGAUCAAAUGCUAGCUCUUGCUAAUAAUUCUAGCAGCUAUCUAUCAUGUCAAAUAUCAUAACUUGUAGUCAUGGAAGGCAGACCCUGAUCAAAACAAGGAGAAACCGUUAUUGCAUGGUUGACGUGUCUUGUUCUGAAGUUGCCAUGAAUUUGACUAAAAUAAUUUUUAUUCAAUUUCAGAGAAAAAUUCCAAUUGUUCCAUUGGGUAUGAGGUUUGGAGGGCCAUUUAAUAAAAUAAAAAAAAUUAAAAUUAAAUUCAAAUUAUGAAAUAUUUUGUCUUCUUUUUCUUUUUUCAAUUCAAAAAAGUACUGGUAGCUAAAUCCACUGCAAUUUUUAACUCUUUCUCUUUCUCUGUCUGUAUAUACCCUUUUUUUUGUUUUUUAAUAGAAGAAACAGGAUCUGUGCUCCACUCUUAAAAUUAUUUCAUUCAUUAUCUUUGAUUAAGAGAAGCAUUCUGGUUCUUGCAUAUAUGUAUAUGCUGAUGAUGAGGUUGCAUUCAUGGCAGGGAGGAAUACUGCUCGGCCCAUCUGCGUUGGGGCGAAGUACCAAGUUUCUGCACAGAGUCUUCCCUGCCAGAAGCAUGACUGUCCUGGACACUGUGGCCAACAUUGGCCUCCUCUUCUUCCUGUUUUUGGUGGGUCUUGAGCUUGACAUUCGAGCUAUCCGAAGGACCGGCAAACAGUCCCUAGGAAUAGCCGUCGUAGGUAUCACCUUCCCUUUCGUUCUUGGCAUUGGCACUUCAGUUGUUCUACGCUCCACAAUUUCCAAGGGAGUAGACCACGCCCCUUUCCUCGUCUUCAUGGGCGUCUCCUUGUCCAUCACCGCUUUUCCAGUCCUUGCCCGUAUCCUAGCAGAGCUGAAACUUCUCACCACUGACGUGGGCCGCAUGGCAAUGUCAGCGGCCGCCGUCAAUGACGUUGCUGCCUGGAUUCUCCUCGCACUCGCCAUAGCUCUCUCUGGCGAUAACACAUCACCCCUCGUUUCCGUAUGGGUCCUACUCUGUGGCUGUGCGUUUGUGGCAGCAGCUAUCCUAUUCUUAAGACCGGCACUUGCAUUUAUGGCUCGGCGCUCCCUUGGAGGCGAACCCGUGAACGAGCUCUACAUAUGUAUUACGCUAUCGCUAGUAUUGGCUGCAGGUUUCGUCACCGACACAAUCGGCAUACAUGCGCUCUUUGGGGCGUUUGUCGUGGGCAUAGUUGUACCCAAAGAUGGCCCCUUUGGGGAGAUCUUAAUAGAGAAGAUCGAGGAUCUGGUUUCAGGGCUUUUUCUGCCGCUCUACUUUGUAUCAAGUGGACUCAAGACCAAUGUCGCUACCAUAAGCGGUGGCCAAUCCUGGGGCCUGCUAGUCCUGGUUAUAUUCAACGCUUGUUUUGGAAAGAUUCUGGGGACGGUUGUGGUCUCCCGCAUAUUUAAGGUGCCGAUGAGGGAGGCUGUUGUACUUGGAUUCCUCAUGAACACCAAGGGCUUGGUGGAGCUGAUCGUCCUCAACAUUGGCAAGGACCGGAAGGUACAUAAGCUCACUCAUUCUGGUACAUAGUUGAUGAUUUUUGGUCUGGGUAGGUGGCUGACCAUCUUGCUUCCUUGUUUGAUUAUAUAUAUAGGUGCUGAAUGAUCAGACUUUUGCUAUCUUAGUUCUUAUGGCGUUGUUCACCACCUUCAUCACCACCCCAAUUGUGACCGCCUUGUAUAAGCCAGCCAGGAAGAUAGCAUCUUACACGCACCGGACUGUUCAGCGCAGAGGACCUGAUUCAGAGUUCCGUAUACUGGCAUGCUUCCAUAGCACUCGAAACAUUCCCACAAUGAUCAACCUAAUAGAGUCUUCCCGUGGGACACGACGCGGGCGUCUUUGUGUGUAUGCUAUGCACUUGAUGGAGCUCUCAGAGCGGUCUUCCGCCAUCUCAAUGGUACACAAAGCACGCAGAAAUGGUCUCCCCUUCUGGAACAAGAAACGUACACACAAAGAUCAGAUGGUGAUAGCAUUUGAGGCCUACCAGCAGCUCAGCAGUGUUUCUGUCCGUCCUAUGACGGCCAUCUCCCCGCUCAACAGUAUCCACGAAGACAUCUGCACAAGCGCCCACCAAAAGCAAGUGGCCAUGAUUCUACUCCCAUUUCACAAGUAUCAGCGUCUGGAUGGGGUGAUGGAGUCGUUGGGACACUCGUUCCAUCUGGUGAACCAGCGGGUCAUUCGGCACGCCCCUUGCUCUGUAGGAAUCCUUGUAGACCGCGGCCUAGGAGGUACCAGUCAAGUCUCCGCCAGUCACGUGUCUUAUUCCAUAGCCAUUCCUUUUUUUGGUGGACGUGACGACCGUGAAGCUCUGGCAUAUGGUGUUAGGAUGGCCGAGCACCCUGGAAUCAAGCUCACAGUCAUAAAUUUUGUUGCUCCCCCAGGGAAGUCGCUUCUGGAUUGGAAUUCCGGAGAUGGUGCUGCGACAGUCCAAAUCAAUGAAAUAACACAAGACGGAAAAGAAGACAAUGACCAACUCUUCUCCGAGCCCAAUUUCACGGAAAAUGAGUCCAUAUCCUACGAGAAGCGGGUGGUAGAAGAGAAGGCAGGCAUUGUGGCAAAGCUGACAUCAAUGACCAACACCAACCUCUUCUUGGUGGGGAGAAUGUCGGCAGUAGCAGGACUGACAGAAAGAAGCGACUGUCCAGAACUGGGCCCAGUUGGGAGCUUCCUAGCGUCUUCCGAAUUCUCCACCACCGCAUCGGUUUUAGUUAUUCAGCAGUAUAACCCCACAGCAAAUUUUUCCGCGCUGGCGGAAGAAGAAGCUUCAGAACUCUCAGACGGGCCAGAUGAUGCACCAGUGUGAUUCACAUAGAUAUAGAUCUACAGAUAUGGAAUCCCCUUCAACGUCCUACAUGCUUCAUUACCAAUUCUGAAUAAUUGUGGUCCAAGUCUACAGAUUAAGGAGAGAGAUCUCCGCCCUUUUAGACUUUGCUUAAUUCUGAAAUGCAUCACUGUCUCUAGUUUUGGGCCAGAGGACUCGGCAGUCGGAUCCCAAUUAAAUUAUAUCUUGUAGGAGAUAUGGACCAUCAUAAGCACUCACUACCCUAAUCUAAAUCUCUAAAUUUAAGCUCGGGUAAUAUCAACAAGCGUGAUCAGUUCGUAUUGAUUAAUAUCAAUGAGCUACUUUUUUUUUUUAUCGAAUAAAAUAAAUUAAAUAUUUUAAUUAUUUUUAUUCAACCAAAAAACCAACACUUCCUCGGUCCUAAAUCAAAAUCAAACUAACUUUAUAUAAUAAUUGCAUUUUAAAUGUUAUUAGUAAAAUAAAAUAAAGUCUAAUCCCCAUGGACUUAAAUAAAAAUAACUUCAUAAAUUUUAAAUAAAACUAAAAAUUAAAUUAAAUAUUUUUAAAAUACAUUUAAUUUUUUUUUCCUUUUUAUUCCAUAAAUUUUUAUUUUAUCACAAUUUUUUAACAAAAUAAAGAGGAUAUCAUUACUAACUAAGUAUAUGCAAAUAAUUUUUUCCACUCUAUACAUUGAAACAAGACCAAAACCCCAACAACUAGUUAGGGCAAUUAACAGUUUUCCUCAUCAGAAUUGAAAGACUGUCUUCUCCUCAAAGAUUCUAUGACAUCUAAGGGUCUAUCUCCCCUAGAAGAGGUUGUUCCUCCCAUGGAAGACUUGAGCUUGGGUCUACCAAUUGAACUGAAAGGUGGUGUUGGAGACCCCCUGUUCACUUCCUUGAGCACUGAUCGAACUGUGGCUGCAGCCACUGCAUCUGACAUUGCUGAAGCCACUCUUGAUUGAACUGGCAACCUCUCUGUGAACUUAGAAACAUGGGGGGAACGAUAACAUGGCUGCAUGGUUGCCACAGCUGCAGCAGCCGUGGAUUUGGCCUUUGCUGCAUCAUACUUUUCCAUGUCAUAAAUGAGCUCCUUCUGAAGCUGCUUAUCAGCUACCAACAUGUCAUCAAUCUCAUUCUUGUAGUCCUUGAGAAGAAUUCGUAAGCAUUCCAUGAGGGAACCUGUAAGGGGGCUGUUCUUGCUCUCCAAUAGCCGCUUCAGCUCUAUGAAGAUGGGAAUGGUGUUUUGGACAAGGCUCUUUUUAACUGCUUGAGUUAUGGCCCUUCCUCUAGCAGCAGAAGCUUCAGAAGCUGCUCCACCAUCUAAGCCUUCUUCUUCCCCAUCUGCUGAAUCGGAUGUUGAUCCACGGGUUGAUGGGAUACGAAUCUCUUUGCAGGCAAGAAUUCGGAAAGUAUCCUGUUUCAUCAAUUCAACAAAAGAUAAUUGUACAUAGAAACAUGUCAGUAACCAAAAAAACACAUUACUAAACAACCACAAGUUUCUAGCUAGAAAAUUCAUGACCCAAAAGAAAACAGAGGCCAUUUCUGUGAUUCAUGUGGUUCACUUUGUGAUGCAAUGGUUGCAGCAUUCCUCCAUUGUAAUACAACACAAUCUAAUUGGUAAUUGGUGUAAUAAAUAGAGGAGAAAGAUCUAUUCAAUUCAAUGUGAAACUAGGGAAGCUCACAUGUCACUCAAGGACACCAAUAUUCAGGGAUUACUACCUGCAGGACAGACUGUCCAUGGACAUCUUCCAUAUUGAGCAUGCCAUCAGAUGCAGCUGCAAGGAUCUCAGCACAUAGCUUAGCAAAAGUAGCUAAAAGGUGCUCUGGGGCCAUUUGUUUCAGCAAACAAACAUAGAUGUGCAUUCUUUUAGAUCUUGACUUUUCAUCAUUACCUCUGGAAAAGAAAAAAAAAUCAUAUACAUAUACAUUGGAUCUUUCCAAUUUUAGCUGUUUUCCUAGUCACUGAAUCUGAAAUUUACUGACCUAAUAGAAAAACGGUCUCUUUCAGUCUGCGUACUCUGAGAAUCAUUACCUCCAUUAUGGACAUGGCAGUCAUUCAGAACAAAAAUGGCUUCAACAAAACUGUUAUAAGCUAGAAGAGGUGCCUUGGCUGCAAUCCAAACACAUCAGAUGAAGAAUUCACUCUGGAUAAACAUAAAUCAUUGUUUCCAUGACGAGAUAGAUUAGUAACUGUAAAAGCAGUGUAACCUUUCAAGAUAUUCCCAAAGAGGAAAUCUGCAAGCCGCCUUAUCUCUUCUGAUUCAUCAACAAGAGAUAAAAGGAAUCGGAGGAAGAGUACUCCUCUCCACUUCACAUAGUCCCUCUGGACAUGAUAAUAAGGUUAAAGGAACAUUAAAAACUUUGCUGCCGCUUAAUUGAUCUUCAAAAAUGAACAUGGGAGAAUAAUAUCAUAAAUGACAAAGCUAUAGAAAUAGAAACAAACCUGCAAUAAUCUAGAAAGAAGUAUAAAUGUCUGCCUUCUCACAAGCUCGCAUGAAUCACGAAGACAUUUUGUGAUCUUUGAUACAUAACUGUUAACUUCAACAAUAGCUAGUUAGAAUAGCAAAGAGAUUCUUUGAAACAUUGUCAUACUUUUAAAUUUUUUAUAGCCCUCACCAAUCAACUAAAGCAGUGUACCGGACACAAAAAUCUGCCAAUGUAACUACAAUAUUGUUGCGGAGGGCUGCACAGUCACUCUUCUCAAGUUCCUGGAACAAUGCAUGCAUGGUGUGUGAACUCAGACUACUUUUACAGCAAGUUGAUCAAGCAAAUAGAAGCAAAUAAAAUAAAAUAAGGUUGAGCAAACAGGUUUCAGUGAUAAUUCACAGGAAAAAUUGUUAGAAAGGGCAAUGCACAAGGAAAAAACAAAAAGGAAAUACAGAAGCCACACCAGGUUGAAAACCAAACCUGCACAAACAAAGGGAUGUAUCUCUUUGCAAGUUCCCCAUCUGCAAGGCAGAUUUUCCCCAUUGUCACCCAUGCAUGAAUGUACAAGGAAGGGGCUGCCUGCUUUAAGGGAAAUGUAUUGCCUUGUAACUUAUUCAAUUUUGUAUCAGAACUUCCGGAGGUAAUUAUGGUGUGUAAAAUUGGAAUAAUGGCAUCCAAAUUAGCAGAAGGACAAAUGAUAACCAAAGACCCGAUAGUAUAAACUGCGGUAAUUGCUCGUGACAAUGAUCUGGACAUGGUCAAUGCUGUUCUGCCUUUCCUCCUUGCACCUCCAGGUGGUGUGCGAAAGUCACUGUCUAUAUUUGCUUCUGAGGCCUCUGAAAUGUACUUAUCUAGAAUCUGAGAAGCUUUAGAGAGAAGUUUGUGUACACAUUUCUGAACAAGGUCAUCAGCCUCAUCAGGAUUUAAAACCUGUCUCUUGCACAAUGUUCUGAGUGCUUUUACAUGCGCGUUAACCUGCCACCAAACAACACAAAACAAUCACACACAUGCAGAGAUAUAUUAGAAGAAACAUGGGUUUCACAGAGUAGGAUACUGCUAUGGAUUCAGCAAGAAAAUGUUAACACGAUCACUGAAAACAUCAAGUAUGGAGUUGACAUUACUGAAAGCAGAAAGGAAUAACAAGUAGAAACUUUCUAAAGCUCACCCUGGCUAACAUCAUAAUGAAAACUUGACUUUUUAAAACAAGAAAAAAGUGCUAAAUUAAGACUAAAAAACAAUGAACCCAAAAGACAAAAAUAAACUGAUGGUUAUGAUUUCACAGGCAACUUCUCCAAGUUCUACAUCAAACAUUCACAUAUGAUGACAUGCUGAUGCUAUUAAAUUAACUUAACAAAGCCUUAAAGCCAACAACUUUAGGCCAGAUACAAGAAUCCUUUUUCUACAUCCAAAUAUAUCUAGGACCAUAUGCAUGUGACUUCCUCUCUGCUUGGUUCAUUCAGCUACAACCAAUUUGCACAUGUGAUAUAUAUCAUGGAAUUAACAUUGUCACAAAUUCUCUUCCUGCAUAACUGUGCAUAUACAAAUCAAUUUAUCAACCAUAAUUUAUUAAGGAGUGGACGGCAAACUAAAGUCCAUAGCAUUAAAGGUGGAUCGUAUGAAACACAGUAGAAAAAGCACACAGAAUAAGAAAUGAACCGCAUGCCCAAUACCUGAAGGAACAAAUUCCCCAUAGGAACAAAAAGCACAUUGUUUAGAAAUUUCUUCAAUUAAAGUAUAUUUAGAAUAAUGCUAUCAUAAAACAAUUGUCUUAUAGCCAUUUGAGAUAGUUAACCCUAUUCAUUUGUAUAAAUUUUUUUUAUUACACAGUUUGCAGUAUUAUUGCCAUAAAAUGGUGCAUAUUAGAUAAACUUCAACUCAAGCUAUUAAGCAAUUCACAUAUUGUAAUCUCUGUAUCCAUUUCAGAUCACCUGAAACUUGUAUAGCAGGCAAAGCAAAUUCAUAUUUUUAUCCAACGACCUUGGAAAAUGGCAAGAUCAGUGUGCAACAAAGGAAAUGAGAAUAUAAGGAGAGAAAACAAAGCAGCCUUUCUGUAUACCAUAUCACUAUAUUAGUGAUGCCAAAUGAUAAAUACCUCAGUUGAAUGCAUGUUGAACUCCUCAAUCCGUGUAAGCAAGUUGUGACCUAAAGCAGCAGCAGGUUCAGGGGGCAGUUCCACAGAAACAUUGGAAAUUGUUUUCAAUAGAAAAACACGAUCUCCAGCCCAAGCAACAGAAUUGGACAUGCUGCAAUCUACCCCAUCAUCAAAAUCUUGUACUGGGCUCCUAAAUUCAACCCCUGGUCCAUUCUUGUCAACGAGCUGCCAAUGAUGAUGGAGGAACUCCCAGUCCACUGCUUUUGAGAGGAACUCUGACACCUCUGAUAGAAGAAACCAGGCCCCAGGAGGGGCUGUCCACUUUUCUAUUGGCAUGGAAUGGCUCAACCACAGAGACUCAGAUGCCUUUAUCAUACCCUGAAGUGCAACAGCAAUUUUGGGCUUCAGUCGUUUCUUCUUUCCUAGGCUUGUGCAGAUCUUCUUCACCCAAGGUGCCACCUCCCCAUUACAGAUCUCUUUCAACAGAACCAAAACUCCUCCAGGAAAUAAAAGCUCAAUUUCCAUCUCUAGACUUUUUGUCUUGGCAUUCAAAUCAUUACAAACCAAUUUCUUGUGUGCUGAAACAGUGGAUCCAGCUCUAGACACACGAUCCAAGACCAGUUCUAGAAACAGGUUCUCACAUUCUUCCUGAAUGCUAGAUUCAUUAUCAGUUAUUAAACGUGGAAUAGAAUGUAGCCACUCUGUUGUCACAUUCCCAUCUGGGAAUGUUUUAAAAGCCUACAAAAGCAAUGUGAGUGCAACAUAAGAUUAAGAAAUGCCAAAAAAGAGAUCAUUUGGCAGAAUUUAAAAAAAAAAAAAAAAAACAGAGAAAUGAUUAGGAUUGCACACAUUUGCAUAAGCAGAGAUCCAAAUGGGUGCAUCAGUAUAUGAUUUCAGACCAAAAAUAAAGGAGUGGAAAAAUAUAUUUCCAUAUGCAUUUAUUGGAAUUAUGAAAAUGCCUAAAAAACACAAAGACAAAAGGGUCCAUUGCUAUGCCCACAUAUCUGAUGGCCAUUUAUAUAGGCAAUAGGUGUUAAACUUUGUCAAACUUUUUACAUGAAGCUGAUGGUCUUGAUUAUCAUUUGAAAACUGGAAUUUCAGAACAGGAUGCAUGCAGAGGACUCUCAUGUUUGGGGCAGUGUGCUAUGAAUGAUAACUAACUAUAAACACAAAGAAGGUAGAAUAUUCAUCUCACAAAAACACUCGAAGUGUCCCCCUAAUAUAUUCACAAAAUCACCCGGUGAUAUUGCAACACUAUUCCCUAUUUUUUAAAUUGAUUCAUGUAGUAAUAUCCUCAUUGACCAAAGAGAACAAACACAAAUGGAACAAUUAAAAGUGAUUCAACAGUUACUUGUUUUUGUACUUCUCAUGCCCAAUAGAACAAAGUAGGUUUAAAUGCCAUAGAAAAAUCAAGGCCAGAAGAAUUAUUUGUAGGAAGUUUAUGUAUAUGGUAUUCAGAAGGGAUCUUUAAUGGCAUCUAUGUCAGUUUCAAUAUUGCUUAGUAUCAUAUCAGGUGAUGAAAGUAAUCAACAGGAAACAAUGGAUGAGGCACAAAAAUAACUUAAACCUCAGAUAGGGCUGAAAUUGCUGCUUUCCUAAUGCUAACAAGCGGAUCUGAACAAGCCAUGCCCAUUGUCUUGAGCAAGUCUCCAACAAAUUCACCACCAAGAAGACCCGUCAACUUGGUAAUUAGAAGAAGUGCAGCCUUCCUCACGGCUGCCUUCUCAUCCAUACAUCUUUUCCUCAAAAGAUCAUUCACCCCACCUUCCAGCUUCUGAUGUGAUGAACUGCCAAAGCCCAUUCCUUCCUUCAACAUGACCUGAUUCCUAUCAUCAGUGGACAAGAACCCCACUAUCUGUGCCAGGUUUGUCAGAGCUCGAGCUCGAAUCCCUGCAGUAGCAUCCGAGCACCGCUGAAUCAAAGCCUCCAAACAAUUCAACCCCCAUGAAUUCUUGACUUCAUUUCCAGUAUUGACCCCCAAUGGGUCCCUCAGUGACAUUAUAAGCAAGGGAAAAAGAUCAACCGCCAAAAGCCUGAAAUGGGACUUUCCUUGGGUCAUCUUCACCACAUACAUUACAAACCCAAUUUGCUCCUCAAAUUCCAUAGUUUUAACAAUCUCCAUCACCGAUUCCACAGCCAAAGCCCGAGGCUCAGACUUCUCAGGGGCCUUCUGCAACAAAUACCUAGGAAGAUUCACGAUUGCUUUCUUAACACCAUCAAACUCCUUAGCCAUACCCAUCAUCCGAUUCAUCAUAAAUCCCAAUGCAAAUGUCCGAGCCUCCGACUUAGCCAACAGAAUCAAAGGCGAUAACGACUUCAAAACCUCAGCCGCUGUAGUUGCCUGGUCUCCAUGCUCAGAACUCAAAACUUCAGUCAAGACCCGGGAACACAAAUGGGUUAAUUUAUCAAAACUUGCUGUGUUACCACACAAUUCAAGCGCCAUGGCAGGAAUCUCGGCCACGGUCUGAACCAAAGACUUCAAACUAUCAGGAAACCGGUCUAAAUGAAUCAAACCCAGAACCAGCUGUAGCCUUUCAAGAACAGAGAACAACAUUCUCACAUCAAAUUCACUCUCCUCACUCCCAUCACCAUCAUCAACCUCCCUCACCCGACUCCUAACACCCCUUGCCCGCCCACCCCCCUUCCUCUUUCUAUACGCCGCCGCGUACGAGCCCCGACUCGACUCACCGAACCGAGGAGGACCCAUUUUUCGAUUCUUGAAACACUGACGAAUAGAGCGAAGAAGAGAAAGAAAAGCCAUGGGAGUGAAGAGGGUGAAAACAGGUGCAUUCAGGGAGAGAAGCAAGGAGAGGUAGACUCUGGAGGCCAAGAGGGAGAUGUCGGUGGGGCUUGAGUCCAUGGCAGAGGCCAUAGGGCGAAUGAGAGAGGAGAUCGAGAGGUUUCUGGAUGAGAGGUCUUCGAAGAGGCGGUCAAUGUGAUGUGAGUCCUCGGUUGCCAUGGCGUUGUCGAGCAGAGUUUGGAGAUCCGAGAGGGUGGAUUGGGAGAUGGGUAGUGGAGGGUUUGGGUCAGAGAGGCUGGCUGUGGAGUGGGCUUCAAGGUCCGUGAGUAUUCCAGAUAUGACCUCUUCCAUGGCUGCCCGCCUUGGAGCCUCUCUGCGCUCCUGCAAAUCUCUUCGUCUAUCCAAAGCCUUUGAAUUUGGGCGUUCCCGCUUAAAAGUUAAAAGCCCUGUUCUUAAAUUUUAUUUUAUUUUAUAUACACCCUGUGAAAUGCAGAAAGCGAAAACAUGUUUUGAAAAUGAGUUGUUAUUUUAAAACAUUUUCAACAUAUUACUUUUAAUAUUUAAAGAAAUACAAAUGCCUUAAUAAUUUAGUGUAUGGAACUGUUUUUUAGAACUAUUUUCUAUUUUUCAAAACAAAAAACAUAAUAAAAACAUUAAAAAUCCGUUUAAUAACCAAAAAUUGUUUUCUGUUUUUUAUUCAUACAAACAAAAAAUAGAGUAUUUUCACAUCAUAUCUUUUAAUUAUUUGUUUAUUAUUUUUACAUGUUUUUUUUAUAAUUAUUUUAAAAUAUAAUUAUAUAAAUACGUAGAAUAAUUAAAAAUAAAACAAUAGAUAUAAAAAUUAUUUUUAAAACAAGUUAAAAACAUUUUAAAAUUUCAAAUAAACUUUUGUUGUACGAAAAUCAGAAAACAGUUUUCAAAAAUUAUUUUUCACAACUGUUUUUGAAAUUAGUUACAAAAGCCAUCCUUAUAUUCAAAUAUCUUUUCAUUUUUCUCAUUUCCACUGUUUGUGUUAUCUAAAAAACUAAAAAUAUUUAAAAAUUCUUUUAAAAGCGAAUUGAAAAUUUUAUUCCAAGCAUCAUUAGAUAAAAAUGAAGCAGUGAAAUAAAAUGGAUGAGGAAGCAAAAAUUUUCCCAAAGAACUAAAAAACUUCACCUGGCAUGGGGUACUAGCAAGCAAAAAACCUAAAACUACUACCAGGAAUUGAGAAAGGCUGACAGCUAAAGCUGCUUUCAUGGCUUCCAAAGGCCACCAUUUUAAAUGAACUUUCUGAAUUUUAUCUCUAAAGCAAUCAAACAGUUCCCAGAAAACCCAUUGAUAAAUAGAAAGAACCAAUCUAAUCUGCAACUGGAUGAGACUAGAGAGGGAACUCAGGGUGUGAAAUUUCUAGGGAAGAUCAGCCUAUUGGACCAGUUACAGGCCUUCAGCAUCACAGAUAGUUCACCAGUUACUUCGGUUUUUCAAUUAUACAAGCAAGGAAGCAUCGGCUUUACAAAGAAGGAAGCAUUCAACUGCCUCUGGAUAAAGAGAGUAGACAAGGAUUGAUUUUGAGAAACGAUGCUCAAUUGAUUUGAUUCAGUUUUGUACAAAAAAAUAUAUAUACAUACAGUGAUGUUAAUCAGCACAAAAAGAAAAUAUACAAGUCAACCUAGUAUCUAGGAGUGUACAAUGGGAACUCAAGUUUAUAAAGUCAAAUUCUAAGGAUCUGCAUGUGAUUGAAGAGCAACCAGUGCCUUAGAUUGAUUCAGAUUACUGGCACGAAAACCUUUUUGCCCAAUACUAGGGACUGCCAGUUCACCCACAGCUGCCAUGACCAUACACAGCAGAAGCUUAAUCAGCUACCCACCAAACUGGAUCUCUGCUGUUUGUGAUAUAUUGAGAAAUUAUUCUUCUGUCAAGUCCCAACAUGCGGUUAUGGAUGACUGGACUUGGAACUGCUUGCCGGGGAAUCUGGCCCAGCAAGCCUGAGCCUGAAGGAGGAACCAUGUAAAAGUCAGCAGGCUGAGCAGGUGGUGAUGCUGUAUACACCACAGGUGAACCAAUCGAAGAGGGCAAAGGGCCAAAAGCACCAGACCUAAAAUGAUGAGGCAUAUGCAAGUAAGUAAUAUUACCACAGUGGAAUAACACUGAAGACAAAAAUAGAUAUUGCAGGUUAUGAGAAACAAAUGGAGGCUUCUCAUACUAUCACAGCCUUCCCCUAUCUGACUUGAAGAUAUGAAAGGGGUGCUAUAAAAUUAGUCAUGGAACUUAGAGAAAUUCACUACUAUAUUUUUAAUUAAUUUUUUUUACCAGGGCAAAGAUUCUGAAUCAUUUAGGAGGCCUAAAGCUCAUGGAAGAUCAGGGAAGUCAUUAGAAAAACACAUUGGAGGUUGCAGUAUUUUCUGGAGUAUAUUGAAUUUGUCAGAACUUACCCAUGGUCGAGAACAACUGGCUGAGUGACUGAUUGCAGACUUGGUACUCCGCCAGAAGCAACCCAAGACAAUCCCAUCAUGGAGGGAACAGUCGGAUUGGCCCUGCUAGAAUUCUCACUUGUUGGAGAGAAGGUACCCCAAUUGCCAUAGUGCAAACUGGCAGGGAGGCCUUGGGCAGGAGCAUUGCUGGGCGGAGGAAGGAGAUUCCAUUGAUGGCUGAAAGUAGGGCCAUCUGUAAAUAUGAUUCACUUUUCAGUUAUAUUUACUGUACCAACUAGGAUUAAAAAACAAAAAAGGAAAAGAACAACAACAACAACAAAGAAAGAAAGACAUUACAUCCAUGAGAUGGCAAUCCCCAUACCCUGCAAGAUUUAAAACAUCAAGUAAGAUAAAGGAAAACACUAAAAGAAUUGGCAUCUGAUUGCUCGAUUCGCAUUAUCAUAAUAAAGAUGCUUUGAACCAUUUCAAGACUUGGACAGUAGUUUUCCUCCUGACCUUUUCUCAUCUUGUCAAUUUUAUUUUAACUAAGAGAAAAGAGACAAAGAUCAAAAUUCCAUACAGUUCAUAAGCCAUGAAAUUCAAUGAAAGAGCCUCUACCUCCACUUUUGUGGCCCCAACAGCCAAAUAUGAUUGCACGUCCCAUACAAAUUUGAAAAGCUACAAAAUUAAUGUUCAUAGGUUCACACUCCCCAAAUGGAGUUGACGAAGCUUGGAUGUUUCAUGUUAUAACCUGCAUCAUGCCUUAAUAUGCUUCUAAUCAUGGAGAGUGGAUUGAACUAAAUAGCUCCCUUUGUAGUAACUCUAAUAAUCCCACUCCACCAUUAAUGAACCACAUGGGAAGGCAGGCAAUGGUGGGGGUGCGAGGUGGUUCAAGAUUAUGUGAAAGCUGUCAAAAGCAUGAUACAACAGACAAUUAAAGUUGUCUAAUAAAAACUAAUCUGUUCUUUUUUUAUUUAAGGGUAUUCUUUUGAUAAGAAAUAGAAUUGAGCCUGGAUCAUCAUAGUCAUUGUUUCUUUAAUGCAAGUCAUUAUGUAAUUGCAAAAUAUUAUUAUUCUGAAUAGAGAAAAGUUUUCUUUCUUGUAAUUUCUGAUAGUUUAGAAAAAUAGUUGUCUAUUUUUAUCCAUAAAAAACCGACCUUACAAAAGAGUGUCAUUCUAAAUUGUAUUCCUCCAAGAACAUUAAACUUAAGGUCCUCACUCCUCACAUACUGUAAAAGAUUGUGAAAAUCCUUGUGUGAAAUCAUCAAAGUUUGUGAAUGCCCUAUAAAUUGUUCAAUAAUUAAAGAAAGGGAACAAAAAAAUACCUCCAACAAAAAAUAUUGAAUUAUAAUGAUUGAUAAACAUUGCAGAAACCAUAAAGACAAAGUUACCAUAGUUUCAGGAUAAAAGAUUUGCAGUAAGUCAGAGAAACACAGAACACACCAUAAACUCAAUAAAGAUCAAAUGAUGAAAAUUUUUAAAGAUCAUACACAACUACCCCAAACUCGUAACACAAGUGUAUGCACAACUCUUUAGCUCAGUGAUAUCUUCUAUCUUUUUCACCUAACUCCACUGGGAACACAGAAGAAAAAAAAAAGGGUUCUCUUCCUGCUUGGAAUUGACAUUCACAGGACGUCAACUUCAACACUCCUGCUAUUUGCACAAUCCUGUACCCCAACCCAUAAAAAUAAAAAAAUAAAAAGGACUUUUUGAAGCUUUUCUAACCUGACUUGAACAGAGACUAGGGCCAGAUAAAAAAGGACAUGAAGUGCAUUAGGAAUCUGGAGAAGGUACCCUUGAUGAUCCUUAAUAUUCCAUCUGAAAAAUUACUGCUUUUUCCAACAGGGAAGCCUUUUUGGAAAAUAUUUCUCUAUUGAAUCUCAAAUUGAGUUCAGUUUGAAGAAAGAAUUAGCACCAUCCUGAAAUAGAUUGAUAGAAAUUGACCCACUUUGCACCUGAAUUCUGAUGCCAAAUCCUCUACUUACUCCAUAGGACCCAUAGGAAUUAUAUCACCUUUUUCCAGAUUAAUUUUUAGACUAAAAUUCACAUCAAAACACAAUAAUGAUUAAUCAUUCAGCUACUGAGCGCAAACAAUCAACCUUUUCUUCUCACUCCCAUCCUGACCAUGAACAAUCAAUCCAAACUGAUUGAUCAUUCACAAUCACAAUGGAAGUGGGAAGAACAAUUGCUCGUUCAUGCUCAAUAGAUGAAUGAUUGAUCUGCAUCCUCUGGUGUUUUUUUUUUCUUUUUUUUCUUCAGAUUAAAAAAAUUGAAAAACCAGGUGCAGCCAUGGCAGUCUGGCAUGAUCGGUGGCAACACUUGACUGCACAACAGUCACCACCGACUACUACAUGUCUAGGCACUACCGCCAAUCACUAUGGACCGCCACACCCAUACCCUCUGGUUUUUUUUUCCUUUUUUUAUUUUUUUACUUCAUAUAAAAAAAAUGUAGAAGAAGAUGAAGGGGAACAGAAGGAAAGGAAGAAAAGGAAGGAAAAGAAAAAAAGAGAGAAAAGGGAGGUAGGGUUAGGGUUUUGGGUGGGUAGGUUAGGAUCGAGGUGGGGGUGGGGAAGAAAAUGAUGAAGACAUUUUUGCCCUUUCACAUUUACAUUUUAUUUGAAAUAUAUAUAUAUAUAUAUAUAUAUAUAUAUAUAUAUAGGUGGGGGUGAAGAGAGUAUUGAUGGGGACAGAUAACAUUGCUCAAUUGAAAAGGCACCUGUCUUCAUCUCCAAAAUUUCCAACACCCUCUUUCCCAGACCACCAACAAACUCCCAGCUAAACCUCUUGUAGCUAGAGCAAUCCAGUCCAAGAACCACCCCACAUCAAUGCCACUAACAUCUCUUUUUCAGCUUAUCUCUUGAAGAUAAACCAUAUCUGUAGGACCUUGAAAAAUAGCUUACCAUCCCUCUUCAUGUAGCAUAAUUGAAUCUACUAACACUCCAUGAGACUAUGCUAAUCCUCAAUCAACAACAGGAAAUAGUCCAACCUUGUUCAUGUUUUCUUCUUCUGUGAAUAAAACCACAAUACCCUUUACUAUCAUAACUAAUCAAACAUGACAAUUCAUGCUAUUCCUUCAUCAUUUUCAACAAUUUUGUCUUGUAUUGUUUUUUACAUGAAAAAAAAUAUAUAUAUAUGACUAACCAAAAAGACUAAAUACCAUUGAAAAUACAGAUCGAAGCCUCCAACUUGAACUAACUUAUUCAACUAUGCAAUAAUUGGCCAAAAGUUAUCCAAUCAGAUUUCAAAUAAUUAUAAGCCAUUAAAACAAAUCCAAAAUACACCCUAAUUUCAUGAGAGAGAGCGAGGACGACGAGGGUGGUUUUCGAGAAGAAAAGCGAGGUAGGAAAAAAAGGAAAGAGGGGAGAUUUGGGGUGGAGUCAAAGUUCUUCGAGAUCGGGGUGGAGGAGAAACAGGGCAGAUUCCAGGUUGUUAUUGAAGAGAGUAAGGGAGGGGUUUCAUCUUGGGUCCGUUUGGGGCCGCGGAGCGUAGAAGCUCUCCUGGAUAGCCUGAAGCAGUGUAUUAAGGCAGAGGAUAAGGGAAAAUGGGAAAGGGGUUGGAGGGAAAAUGGGAGAGUCUAUUCUCUGGUGCGGGAUGAGAAUAAAGCAGGUAUGUUUAUUAGAUUGGGGGUGGUUGAUAAGGAGAAGAGAGGUAUAAUAUUUUCAUCCCGAAAGGCAGAGGUGAGGGAGGGGGGUGGAAUCUUAUGGUGGAGAUGCUACAGAAGGUGGCAGGAAAUAAUGGCGUCAAAGAGAAAAAACAGGAGGAAAGGGCAAUGGUGGAAACAAGUAUGAAUAAGUCGUUUGUAGAAAUGGUGAAGGGGUCGGAGGGCAGGGGGGGUGAAGUGGUAAAAGUGGAAGUGAGAGAAGAGGAAAUCAGGGGCAAUCUGCGCAAACUGGAGUAUUGUCUCGUAGGCAGCUGGAGCCCUAGCUUAGCAAAUGGCAUGGAUAUGGAGAGGUUCGGUUGGUUAAUGGCGAGGACAUGGGGGUUGCAGGGUAAUUUAGGGCUGGCAAGGAUGGAAACGGGUAGAGUCCUUUUGGAAUUUCAGCAUGUGGGUGAAGCCGAGCGUGUCCUUGCCUAUGGAAGCAGGCGGGUGGGAGCCGUCCAGUUAGGGCUGGAACGAUGGCGACCUAGGUGUGGGUGCGAAGACGAAGGUGGGAGCAGGAAGGAAGUGUGGGUAAAGAUUUUAGGACUUCCAGUUUCGUUAUGGGAUCCGUCCAUUUUGCGGAAAGUGGGGGACAAAUGUGGAGGGUUUGUAGCCAUGGAUCCCCUGACGGAGAAGAUGGUGGACCUGGAAGGGGCUCGAAUCCUUGUUAAGAGGAAGAAUGGAGGCUUGCCGAGCAGGGUAGAUAUAGUGGUGGAGGAGGUUUGCUACUCACUAUACCUAUGGUGGGAAGUGAGGCCGGAGAUGAGGAAGUCGAUCUCUGGAAGUAGCUUGAAGGGAAUCUACAGAGAGGAGGUCAGGGGUGACGCUAUGACACGCGCUACCCAGCGCGUAGGAGAAGAGAGAAGCGCUAGGCCCGAGGCGCUGCUGCGGACUGCUGAUGGGACAGAUGAGCAGGUCAGAGGGGUAGUUGGAGAGGGGACUGGCGAGCGGGUCGGAGCAGGGUAUGGGGCCCGGGUUUCUGCGGAGUUGGAUCAGGUGGAUAGGCUUCUCCACCCAGGCCCAUCUUCAGGUAGGACGUUAUAUCCUAAGGCCCAAAGGGGGGAGAAAAAGGGCCCGAGCCCAUUAAAAGGGUUAAAAUUAAAAGGAGUGGUGUCUGAGGAGGCUGGGCUUGGGAUUGGGCCGUCCUAUUCAAAGUCAGAUUGGUGGAUUGGGGUUGGUGAGAGCCCAGGUCUGUUUAGGAGCAAUGGAGGGGAGGGGGAUCAGUUAAGCCCGUUACAGCCUGAGAGCAGAAAAGGGAAGCCAGAGAGGGGCUCCAUCUGGAAGCGGGGGGAUUUCAGUGAGGGAAGAAAUAGAGAAGAUGAAUUUCUCAAAAUAAGAGAGAAGGAAGACGCAUGGAAGCAGCAAAUGGUUCCGUCCCACUCAGUGACCGAUUGGGCGUUAAUUGCAGAGGAAUUGAGGUAUGGGUCUGUUCUCAUUCAAAGGGGGGGUAGGGACUCGGGGUACCCGUCUUCUUCUUCUCACUCUUUUGAUCGGACUCCGGAGGGGGAGUUUUACGAUCAUUCUGGGGUGGCAUGUGAGGUGAUUCAAAAUGAAAUCCCGCUGAAUACAAUCAAACCUGUCGUGAAUGGUGGUGGGAGAUGGGAAUUGGCCGAAAACAUCACUGUGAAUGAUAAUGACAAGGAGUGGGAGAAAGGGUCAAUGCUGACAGUGUCUCAAGAAGCUAGAGAGGAAAGGGAGAAUGGAUGGGAGGAGUGCAAUCUGGCCAAAUUUAGCCAGUUUUUAGGCUUCCCGAUAGAAGGAUUGGAGAAGGAAAUCGUGAAUUUCCUGGCAAAAAUCAGAAAGAGAAGAGAAAAGAUAUACAGUAGAGGUGUUUUAGAGAAGACAAAGUUUGAAAGGGAACUGAAAAGGCUUGAAUGCUCAAUAAACUACGAGGGAGGGAGCAAGCAGAGAAGUUCUUCUCAGGAUAGAGGGUGCCAGCUUAUAGAAGUUAAUGAAGAUUAAGAUCUUAUGUUGGAAUGUGAGGGGAGCAAAUGAUUGCUCUAGGAGGAAAAUAAUUAAAGCUGUUGUGAGAAGUCAGAAAGUAGACUUACUUUGCAUCCAGGAAACGAAAAUUAAUCUGAUGUCCGAGUAGGUGGUUAGAAGCAUAGGAGUGGGAAGAUUCUUAGACUGGAGGGCUGUGGAUGCUUCGGGUACGGCAGGAGGUAUUCUGGUCUGCUGGGAUAAAAGGUUGCUGGAGCUGUUGGAUUGGGAGGAGGGGCAAUUCACUAUUUCUUGCCGGUUUAGGAAGGUGGAAGAUGGGGCUGUCUGGGUAUUCACGGGGGUGUAUGGUCCGUUCACCAAAAAUGAAAGGGACUGUAUGUGGGAUGAGAUAGGGGCUAUCAGAGGGCUAUGGGAAGAGCCCUGGUGUGUAGGGGGAGACUUUAACGUCAUUCGCUCUCAGAAUGAGAGGAAUAGGCAAGGGAGAAUUUCUGCAGCAAUGAGGAAAUUUGCUCAGGUUAUAGAUGAGUUAGGCCUGAUUGAUCUCCCGUUGCAAGGAGGUGAUUAUACGUGGAGUGGGGGGCCAAAUAAUCGUUAUUGGGCCAGGUUGGAUAGAUUUUUGGUUACCCCAAGUUGGAUGGAUCAAUUUAGCAGUGUGAUUCAAAAAAGACUGCCCAGGCCAGCUUCAGACCACUUCCCGGUAGUGCUGGAGGGUGGUACUGUGAGACGCGGUCCUUCCCCGUUCAGAUUCGAAAACAUGUGGCUUAAAGUAGAUGGGUUUCAAGAGCUAAUCCAUAGCUGGUGGCAGGGAAUAGAGGUGAGAGGAAGUGCUAGCUUUAGGUUGGUUACAAAAUUGAAAGUAGUGAAACAGAAGCUUAAAGAGUGGAAUAGGGAAGUGUUUGGGAGAUUGGAAGACAAUAAAGCUGCUGCCCUGCAGCUUGUGGAUCACUGGGACAGGGUGGGAUGUGAGAGAAGACUAUCAGAGGAGGAAACAGAAUCAAAAAAGGAAGCAAAGGAUAGUUAUGCUAAGUGGGUCUCUUUGGAGGAAACUCAUUGGAGGCAGCAUUCCAGGGAGUUAUGGCUGAGGGAAGGGGACAACAAUACAGGAUACUUCCAUCGUAUGGUGGCUGCACAUCGUAGAUUCAAUCAUGUGGACAGAAUUAAGAUAGGUGGGGUGUGGCUGACUGAGGAAAAGGAUGUGAGAGAAGGGGUGGCCAAUGCCUUUCAGCAUUUACUUACGGAAAAUUCAGAUUGGAAGGCGGACAUAGCAAGGCUGCAGUUAGAGCAACUAAAUCAGCAAGAGGCAGAGAACUUGGAACAACCUUUCUCUGAAGAGGAAAUUCAUAGUGCCCUGAUGGAGAUGAAUGGGGACAAAGCCCCAGGACCGGAUGGCUUUACUAUGGCCUUUUGGCAAAGAUGCUGGGUUAUAGUGAAAGAAGAGGUUUUGGAGAUGUUUAAAGAGUUCUAUGAGCAAAGUGCCUUCAUCAAGAGCAUGAACAGUACAUUUUUGGUCUUGAUACCCAAGAAGGGGGGGGCUGAGGACCUUGGGGAAUUCAGGCCAAUCAGUCUCUUGGGGGGGCUGUACAAACUAUUGGCCAAGGUCUUAGCCAAUAGACUGAAAAAAGUGAUAGGGAGAGUAGUAUCCACUGAUCAGAAUGCUUUUGUUAUGGGGAGGCAGAUCCUUGAUGCCUCAUUAAUUGCAAAUGAAGCAAUUGAUGCAUGGCAAAAAAGGGGAGAGAGAGGUCUCAUUUGUAAGCUGGACAUAGAGAAAGCCUACGACAGCCUAAAUUGGCCGUUUCUGAUGAAAGUCAUGAGAAAGAUGGGGUUCGGUUCAAGGUGGCUGGGAUGGAUGUGGAGUUGUAUCUCCACAGCCAAAUUUUCGGUGUUGGUGAAUGGAGUGUCGGCCGGUUUCUUUCCAAGUUCUAAGGGGUUGAGGCAAGGAGAUCUCCUCUCUCCCUAUCUCUUUGUGAUGGGAAUGGAGGUGCUGAGCAAUCUAAUCAGAAGGGCUGUUGAAGGGGGCUUUUUGUCAGGGUAUAGGAUCCGAGGAGGAGGAAGGCAGCCAGUGCAUGUUUCCCACCUGCUCUUUGCGGAUGAUACUAUAGUUUUUUGUGAAGCUAGGAAGGAGUAUCUAACUUAUCUCAGUUGGAUUCUGUUCUGGUUUGAAGCCGUGUCAGGAUUAAGGAUUAAUUUGGAGAAAAGUGAAUUAAUCCCAGUUGGCGAGGUGGAAGAGAUGGAGGAGAUGGCAGCGGAACUGGGCUGCAAAGUGGGCUCUAUGCCCUCUGUGUAUUUGGGGCUGCCAUUGGGGGCCCGUAACAAGAGUGCAGCCGUGUGGGAUGGGGUGGAGGAGAAGAUGAGAAGAAGACUAGCGCACUGGAAACGGCAAUAUAUUUCCAAAGGUGGGAGACUUAUUCUCAUUAAGAGUACGAUGGCUAGCAUACCUUUGUACCAAAUGUCUCUUUUCUGUAUGCCCAAGUUGGUCGCGCGAAGAUUAGAAAAAUUGCAAAGGGAUUUUCUUUGGGGAGGAGGAAAUUUAGAAAGGAAAGUGCACAUUGUUAAUUGGAAGAUUGUGUGUACGGAGAAGGAAAAGGGGGGGCUUGGCUUAAGGAAGCUAGUCCCGUUAAAUAAAGCUUUGUUGGGGAAAUGGAUUUGGAGGUUUGCUUGUGAAAAGGAAAAUUUGUGGAGACAAGUACUUGUGGCGAAAUAUGGGCAAGAGGGGUUUGGUUGGAUGACCAAAAAGACUAAUGGGACUUUUGGAGUAGGGGUUUGGAAGGAAAUUAUGAAGGAAAAGGAUUGGUGUUGGGAGAAUAUGGCUUUUAGGAUGGGGAAUGGUACCAGAAUCAGAUUCUGGAAUGAUCUUUGGUGCGGAUGUACAGUGCUGUCCCAAAGGUUUCCUCAUCUAUAUGGGAUGGCUGCUCAUAGGAAUGUUACAGUAGAGGAUAUGUGGGACCAGAAUGUGGGCCAAGGUGAUUGGGAUGUAAGAUUUGUGAGGAGAUUUAAUGAUUGGGAGUUGGAUUUGGUAGGGAAUUUGCUUCAUACAUUGAGGGGGUUCAAUCCUACUUUAGAAGAGGAUGCUGUUUUUUGGAAAGGGAGGAAAAACGGAAAGUUUAAAGUUAAAGAAGCCUAUAACUUGGUGGUAAAUUCUAUGGCUAACAAUUUUCCGAAGAACAACAUUUGGGUGGAUAAAGUUCAAACAAAAAUUUUGUUUUUUGCUUGGGAAGCUACUUGGGGCAAGGUGCUCACGCUUGAUAGGCUCCAGAGAAGAGGGUGGCAUCUCCCUAAUCGGUGCUUCUUGUGUGGAUGUGAAGAGGAAACUGUAAAUCACAUACUCAUACAUUGUAUAGUGGCAAGAGUCCUGUGGGAUAUGAUAUGUGCUUUGGUUGGUGUUAAGUGGGUCUUUCCAGAAACUGUAAAGGAGGUCCUAUUAAGCUAGAGGGGCCCUUUUGUAGGGAAAAAAAGGAAAAAGAUAUGGAAGUCUAUACCGUUGUACAUCUUUUGGACUCUUUGGAAAGAAAGAAAUAGGCUUGCUUUUAGGGGGGGGGGGGGGGGGUGUUAGAUAUACAGAAAUUAAAAAAUUCUUUUGUCUGUAUGUUAUGGGGAUGGGCGAGAAUGUAUAGUGGAGAGAGGUCGUUGUCUCUUAUAGGAUCCUUGGAGUGGAUAGCCGCCAUAUAAGGGCUGGUGGGCUUUUUGUUGUUUUUUGUUUUCUCUGUGUUUUUUUGAGGCUCUAGCUAGUUUGUAUACUCCCUGUAUGCGUGUGGCUUUUUGGCCUCUUUUCAAUAUAUUAUAUGCUUACUUAUCAAAAAAAAAUAAUUAUAAGCCAUUAAAUGUUGGAUCAAUUAUAAACUAAUUCAUAAAAUAUGGUUAUUUAGCUUUCCAUUUUUUAUAAUAUUAUUUCAAAGAGUACAUGUAUAUUAAUCAAUUGUAACUUGAUUGAAUUCACAAAAUGAAAAUUUUGGUUUCUUAACUUACAUUUACUGUCAUCUCUAUUUUCUUUCUCUCAUAAUCGUCUAUGCAUUUUUUUUUUUUUACUAAAAUAGCACCAUUGAAUAUAUAUAUAUAUAUAUAUAUAGGAUUAUUUUACAUAUUUUUUAUUCAAAAAUUUAAAGUCCACUAAUCAGCUUCAUGAAUCAGAGUAGAAGAUCUGUCUAGAAAGAAAUCAUGCUUACUCAUAAGGUCCAUGAGUGAAAAGUCCAAGAAUAGGACACCAAGGAAGAACUGCUACUGGCUGCUGAAAAAUAACACAAUAUAUAAGAGAAAUAAGAAAGAUGGUUUAAGAAACCAAUCACAAUAUUCAUUGAUAUAAUUUAAAAGAACAUGUAAAUAACCUUGAAUAUCUAUGGAUUACAUAAAUCAAAAAGUUGCAAUCAAGCGCAUAAUGCAACCAAGAGGAGGUAUAAGGAAGAUUAGGAGCAUGGAGAUGUGUCAAAUCCCUCACUUGCUAAUCUUAAACACUCCAAUGAAACACACCAACCAUGUUCCAUGUUUCCAACUCAGGUUAACACAGUGCUACUGGGGAUUUAACAGAUAUGCGUGGAUUAGACUCUAAAAGUUAACUGUUUUGCUCUGUUUAAGUUGCUUCUGAAACAGAUUUUGCUAGUAGUGGUUAACAACAUGGAAUUAAAGAGCAAUAACAAGCUCUGGCCUAAAGAAAGGGGCCUUUAUGGGCCAUAGCCUCUUUGGCAAAAAUGAAACCCCUAAGGGCUGAUAAGCAGGCCUAUAAAGUCCAAACAUUCAUUUUCUCUAAACCCCCUUCUUUCCCUAAACAAGUCGCAAGUGGAUGCUAGUUCUAAAAGUCUAGUGGCCACUGAGUUCAACCUCAAGUAGAAGACAGAUAUGAAAUCCUCUGGUUCCGUUAGUUGAUAGUGGCAAGUCUCCCUAGCAAUAGUACAACACAUUUUUAAAUGGUGAGUUUCACUGACAAGAGAUUUUGAGAAAAAGGCUAUUGGAUAUGAAAGACUGACCCCAUUGUAGGGGGAAAUAAGAGAGGCAAGAACAACACAAAAGCUACGACGAAAAAGAGGAAAAGAAAAGGCUUAGUCUAAGACAAGUUUGCUUCCAGAACAAGGCGAGCAAUGAAAAAAUUAUGCAAGUGAAAUUCUAGUUAACAUGAUUUAUUCCAUGAAAAGGAAUUUAAAAAUCUAAAUAGCUUAGAUUAUUAGAAAUCAUCAUUUUGAUGGCUUACAAAGGAAACCACAAACUAAGAAAAAAAUAUAAACAAAAAGUUUACUCAUUUCUUAAUCUAAUUAACUCAAAUCCUCUUACUAUAACUAUAAACCAAAUAUAAAUCAAUUAAGUCUCCAACUUUCCUAAACUAAAAGAUUGUGAUGAGAUACAAAUUCCAAAGAUUUCAUUCACACUCGCAAUGCAGUAUUCCAAAAAAAAACUCUCCAACACCUGAUAGGUUAACAUUUUUCAUGAAUUUUGUGUUUGGGAAAAUUCCAACCUUUCUCAUGUGACAAUAGUCUCAAAAUAAGUUACAAAGCAAAGUGAACGAUGAAAGUAGAUAUACAAAUAGCAAUGACCAAAUAUUCAAGUACACAUCAUUCUUUUCUGCUCACUUUAAAACAGAGAAAGAUUUUAUGGAACUUCAACACCAUAGUUUUUAAAGCCUUUUGAAGUUUACUCUAAGGCUCAUCCUUGAGACUUAAGGGGACUAGAAACAUACAUUUAAAGGUGAAACGCUCUUAUGAUCCAACGUGCAAUUCACACACACCUUCAAAACCACUUUAUAUUUGAGAUGCCCACUUCAAAUUGCAACCAAAUUUAAUCUAUUAGAUUGUUCAAUAAUUGUUUGAAGACCCAUAAUGACCAAAAGAAGUUUUGACACAAAUUAUGUUCAAACCUUUAAUAUAUUUUUGCUAGGGAAGUGAUUGUGGAGGGUAAUUAUGGAGAAAUCAUUAUAGGCAAGUUUGAGGAGGGGAAAGGGAAUUUGUUUUCUAGCGCAGAAAGUGAGAUUUUGGGAUGGAUCUUUGGAAAGCCAUUAAUGAAGGUUGGGAAGGAUUUCUUGCUAGAACAAGUAUUAAGAUAGGGAAUAGGCAAAUAACUAAGUUUUGACAUGAACAGCAUGGGUGAAGGGGCUUAUGUUGUGAACUUGUGGGUGGAAGGUAUAAACAAUAGCCUUUGGAUAAAAUGGUGAUGGUCUUUUCGUUGAUACAAAAUGUAUAAUAUACACAACAAGGAGAUUAAUCACAAAAGGUAAGUCAUAGUACACAAAGUCAAUAACCAUGAAUAUGAAGAAGUAGAUGUGAUCCACAAUUUGCAAUUCCUUGAUUAUGAGGUUAUCUUAGAAUUGUUGGUUGAUUCAAUUUCUUUCCUCAUAUGCAGCCAUAGCUGAAGAAAUUGAUGUUGUGAGAGGGCCUCAGUAUGCAUCAGCAAGUUAGUCCAUAGUGAAAAUAUGGGAAACACUUAAAACUACCCUUAGGGACUUGAUCCUUCACAAAAUGAAAACCAAUUGCUAUGUGUUUCAUUUUAUGAAUGAAAUAUCAGAUUGGCAGAAAGAUAGGAGGCACCGACAUUGUUGUGGUAUAAUGUUGGAGGUGCCAAUAGAAGAAAAUUUUGAACCCAAUUAAGCUUGGCGGCAAUGGAAGCAACCAUUCAAUACUCUGCUUCAAUAGAGGAACAUGCAGCAAUUAUUUGUUUAAGAGAACACCAAGAAAUUAGAUUUGCACUCAUACCCAAGCAGAUGAUGUAGGCAUUAGCUAAGGUGUGAUCAUUCCUAUUUCUUGCCUAAUCAACCUCAAAGAAGGCAUGGAGCUGGAGAGGAGUGUUCUUGUGUAAAAGCAAGCCAUGAAACAAGCUGCCCCAUAGACAGUGUAGCACCCUCAUAAUGGUUAUGUAACGAGCAACUAUUAGCUUGCGCAUAAAUUGGGACAACUUGUUGACUACAUAUGAGACAUGAGGCCUUGUGCGAGACAAAAAUUAAAGAGCACCAAUGAAACUUCAAUGAAAGGUGGGGUCCACAAAAGUUGUCCCAUCAUGGAGUUGCAAAGGAAUCACAGUGGAGAGAAGAGUAGAGGUUAUCUUGGCACCUAACAAUUUAAUUUUCUCCAAUUAGUUUUAAACAUAUUUAUGUUAGCAUAAAAAGCAACCAUUGUCAAUUAGAACAACAUCUACACCAAGAAAAGAGUGCAAGUCACCAAGAUCCUUCACAGAAAAAUCUUGUUGACAAUGCUUUAAUCAACUAUUGAGCAAUGAUGGCAUAUUCCCUAUCACCAAAACAUCAUGAACAUAUGCAAGCCCAUAAACAAUAAAAAUGCCACAUGAGUAAAUAAAACGAGGGUACCAAACAUGGAAUUGACAAAGCCAAAGUGGAGAAGAAAUCAACUCAAUUCUUGAUACUAUGCUAUGUGCCUAUCAUAGGCCAUGGAUUACCAUUUUGAGCUUAUAUGUAUAAAAAGGAAAUUGUGAGUUAAUAAAACCUAGUAGUUGAGCUUGAGCCAUAAAACAUCACUAGAUAAUCUUCCUUGAAGGUUGUGUGAAAAUCAAUUCCAGGACAUCGAUGAAAACCUUUAGCAACAAAUCUUACUCUAAUACCAUAUAAGCAAUAGCCUUUGGAUAAAACGGUUGUUAUGUUUUCACUGAAAAUGAAUGUUUAAUAUAUACAUACCAAGGAGAUUACAUAUCACAAAAUAUAAGUUAUAGUACACAAAAACAACAAUAACAAUGAAUAUAGAGAAACAAAUAUGAUCCACAAUUCAUGAGUCCUUAAUUAUGAACAUGUGCUAAAGUGGGUAUUAACUCAAUUUCUUUCCUUAUAGAAGGAAGGGAGAAUCUUAAUUGAUCACCUAGGUUUAGAAGCAACUUUUCGAAUUAAGAGCUAGUCUACGUGGAGUCUUUACCGUAGCUUUCUCCACCAUUGGACAAAGCCUUAAAGGAUGGUCUUUUCUUUAUGAGGUCAUUUUAUGUUUUUAGGCUCCAGCAAUCUUACUUCUUUUCUAAGAAAAUUUUGGCUUAAGUUGGUCCUUUAAAGAUGUGUUUCUUUUUGUAGGAGAUAUAACAAGGAAAAAUCUUCCUUAUAACCAACUCAUGACCAACAAAUGAUUCCUUAUGAACCAUUAUUGCUUGUGGAAAGAGGAGUCAAAAUCCAUUGAUCACAUUCUCCUUCAUUGUGACAAGUGAAGGAUAUUAUGAUGGUGUAUUCUAUUUUCGGUAUUCAAUGGGUUGGCUUUGCUUUAGUUAGGGAGGUUCUACUAGGAUGGUACAACUCUUUCAUAGGUAGAAGACGCAUUAAGGCCUGGAGAGCGACUUCAUUAUGUAUUUUUUUGGACUAUUUGAAAGGAAAUAAACAAAAAAUGUUUUGAAAGUAAGGAAAUGUUAGACCAAAGACUCCAAAGCAAUUUCCUUAACAACCUAUUUCUUUGGGUUAUGAUGUACAUAGGUGGAGGCUCUAUGCCUUCAGUUGACUUCAUAGAUUGGUUGGGCCAUUGUUGAGGGAGGGAGUAUUUUUUUUUUUGUUUCCCCUUUUUACUAUUUUGCCUUUUGGCACUCAUUGUAUACAACACAUGUACUUUUGUGCGCUUUAGCACUACUUAACACACUCAAUUAUUUAUCAAAAUAUAUAUAUAUAUAUAACUUAUGGAAACAAAAGAAAGAAAAAGUUAAUCACAUCCUCAUUCGCUAUAAGUAGGCUACCAAGUUGUGGUAUUUUUUUUCCUCCCUUCUUAGGGUUAGUAAGGUCCUUAGAAGGAUUAAAAGAGCUUAUACUUGGUUGGCAUGGUGGCCUUAUAGGCAAAAAAUGCAAGAAUAUGUGGAGCAUGCUACUUUAUGUUUAUUUUAAGAUAUAUGGAAAGAGAUAAGUAGGACUUUUGAAGGUCUUGACCAUUCAAAGAUGACCAUUAUAUAUCACGUCCUCAAAUUUGUCUUCUUGUUUAGAGGAGAUUGCAAGAGAAAAACUACUCUUUGUUUCUAGACUUCAUUGUUGUUUGAGUUUAGAGCAUGAUAGGUUUAGCCUUUCUAAAUUUUUCCCUUUUAUACAAUUUGUUUUCUGAUUGUAUGCUUGGUCGUUCCUACUUUUUUCUUCACUGAGGUUUUUGAUGCUCUGAAGAUUGAAAGAAUAGAAACCUGACCUAGUCUUCUAUUUCAAUCUCAAAGGUAAAAGGAAGGACAUAGACAAAAGGGGAGACAUGGACAAAGAUCCAAUUGGAUCUUUGUGAUAAUAAAAUUUGCAUCCUAAUCACUGAUUUUUAUUUUCUCACAAAAUCACAAAUUUGAAAAGUGAUUCUUAGUCAAUCACAAAAUUGGUUUGCAAUAUAGUUAGAAGGAAACAUGCUUGGCAAGUUUUGCAAUAGAUGAUUUUUUUUCCCCUCAUUGUUGAUAUCUUUUUCAAACUCAGAAGAAUUUGGAAAAAAGCUCAGCAUAUUCUUUAGCUUGCCGGAAAGAGAGUCCAUAAAGCCACUACAAAAACUCCUAUCGAUCAAUAUUAUCAUAUUUUUUUCCAGCAUUUAUAAUUUUAUCAAAGAUAAACAUUUGAAGUCAAUAAGUGAUUCUAAAGCCCACUAAAAAAAGAAGUAAUUUUUAAACCUGAAAAGGUUGUUUAAAACUAAAGAAGGAAAGUCAACAUGUAAUAAAGAUUCCAAAAAUUAAAGCUUUGAGCAAUUAUAACACAAUUAUCUUUUUCAUAAUCAUUCUAAAAAUCCUAUUACCCCACGAUUACUUGAAAGAAUUGCUCGCGUCUUAAAUACAUUAGAAAGGAAUUAAGAGAUUCUUUCAUUAUUGUCUAUUAGCUUCUUUGAGAAGUAGAGAUCUAUAUUGGCUUGCUCAUAGACAAGGAAGGUGCAUACUCUUUGCAAACAUGGUAUUUUCUUCUAGGUGAAUCAGUUAAUUGGGAGGCUAUCAGUUUGGCCAAGAAAGAAGCUGAGUUUCUAGAGAUCUUUAGUAAGGAUACUUACCUUGGUUGAUUGUUUUAACAUUUAGGGUACCUACCCUUAAAGUGGUUCCUACCCUUAAAAACUUUAAGGGAUGUUCACCAAUCUUGAGUGCUCUAACACAUAAGAAGUGAAGGAAUAAAAAGUAGAAAAUGAGCACAUAUAGGCUUCACAAGAAGUUAAUUGUAUUGGACCUGAACACAAUUGAUUGGGUGAAGAUUAUCCAAUGAGUUUAAUUAUAUAGGCAUCAAAGCAUUGAUAUAAAAACACAUAAAAGAAAGUAAAACUAUAUGAUAUAAGGAUUGUAAUAGAAGUAUUUUUAGUACUUUAAUACUAAAUUGGAAAAUAGAAAAAAAAAAUAGGAAAAAGAAAGCAAUAUAGAAAAUAUUAUCUAUUGAAACAAAUUAAGAAGAGGUAUGAUGAACACUUUUAGCAUAAUAUUUAUGUAUGAAAAUGAAAUAUCCUAACAUAAAUUAGUCCUUACUAACUAAACCUACAAAAAGACAAACAAUAAAACAUAUAGGAAUACCACAUACUUCAAUAUAACACUCUUACACAAAAUAAAGCUCAUCAAUUCUAAUAUUUUGAUCUAUUCAUGAUCCAUUUCUUUGUAAGCAAUCUCAAGUUUCAUUUCCUUCGAAGUUCAAGGCUCUUUUCCCAAGUAGGCUGUGAUAUCUUCCCCAUGUGUUGUGUUUGUUACAUUUAAGGGCUCUUCAACUAAUGGUAGAUUCCUCUUCCGUCUCCGUUCCCCUCCUUACUUGCAGUAGGGCAUGGACCUUCAACCAUAGUUUUCAACCCAAAAGAAAUAUUUGUAAAUGAAAGGCUACAACUUCAUUGGGUAUUCUUCAAAAUUAUAUACACCAUUUUGUGAAAGCUUCAAGAUGAAAGAACUUAAAAUUGAUUCUUGGCAUAGAUAAUUGACCUUGAACAAUUUUAUAAGCAAAAAAUUAUCCGCUUGUUUUUCAUGCAAAGACUAACAUCUAGAUAAAUGGGGCACAUCCCAUUUCAUGCACAACCCACGUUUGUGUGUUUAUGUUUAUACAAACAAGUACGUGUAAACACAAGGGCAUGCAAAUGCAAACAUGCGCACAAACACACACAUUAGAUGUAUGCAAUCCUUAUGUAUCAAUGUCCAGGCGUACACACACAUGUGAACACACACCUUAGAUUUAUGUAACACAAAAACGUGAGUGUCCAUACAUACACAUAUUAGAAUAACGAACAAAAUAAAAUUCAUUAUGAAUGAACUUUUAUAAAAAUAUCAAAAUAAGAAAGUAAAACCAUAAUAUCAUUAAAGAGAGAUAGAGGUGUUAUGAUAAUAGAUCCAAACUUCUAAUGCCACAAGAAACUAAUUCAACUAAAAGGAAACAAAAAUAUGAGAACAAAAUAAAAAUGCAUGCUUUUACCGCUUCAACCAAAAACUGAGCCUGAUUCUCAUUGGUUCUAUUUUGGGUACACUGGCCAUUUGAAAACCGCCAUUCACCAACUUCAAUUACUCUGCAAUUAGGGCAUCUCAUGAUACCCCUUGCAUUAAAUUCAGAACCAAUGCAAUCUGAAAAAAUGGUAGAGAGAAAAUUAAAAUAAAAUAAACUAAAACGAAAUAUAAAAUACAAAAAUUAAGAAAACACAAGAAGCUCAAAACACCCAAUAUAUCUGAUAUCAAACAUCCUGCAGUCCCUCCAAAGAGGUAGACUGGUAUUUGCAGUUUCCAGCACCGGAGAUGUCAGAUUGAGAAUCCGGAAACCAAGGGGCAAAAGAAGGGAAAAACUCAGCACCAACAUUCAUUAGAAUUAUUGGUAACAGAUUAAUUGAUAUUCAGUAACCAUGUAAAUGAACAUUGUAAAAACACAGGAAACACAGUCAACUAGAAAAUGCUAAUGGUUGUCUUCUCCAAGAAGAAAAGUUCCAUCUAAAAACCUAAGCAUGUUCCAUCCUUUCCUGUUUUGAAUCAUAAAAAGGCUUUUGGGACAUUCCUAAGAUCAAAACAGCAAUUGUAACCUUCCCAGCCGUAUUGCUUCAAUUAGGGAAUGCCCUUUACUGCAUUGGAAAAUAGCUUGAGCUUGUAUAAACAUAUACAAUGAGAUGCCAAAGAGAGGGAAGGCCAUCUAUCUUCAAAUGAAAUAGCUGCUAGAAAAUUGGCAGUAGAAGAGUUUAAUGACUGGGCUGUUCUAGAAGAAACCACUUGGAUGCAAAAGCCCCAGGAGAUUUGGCUAAAGGAAGGGGAUAAAAAUACAAAAAAAUUUUACAAGACAUCCAAUGCUAGGCGCAGAAGAAAUCUCAUAGGGAGAAUUAAGAUAAAUGGAGAAUGGGUAAUGGAGGAAUUGAAGAUUCCAACAAAGACUGUUCAUCACUUCAAGCUACUACUUUCAGAACCAGUGGGGGAGUGGAGACCAAAUUUAAAUUGUCUGCUUCUCAAUUUGUUGAGCAAUGACAAUUCUGUCAAGCUGUAAGAAGCUUUCAUGGAGAAGGAGGUCUUUGUGGCCCUUAUGGAUCUCAACAGGGAUAAAGCCCCAGGUCCUGAUGGCUUUUCCUUGGCUUUUUGGCAAGAUUGUUGGGAGUUUGUGAAAGAUUCCUUUUUUAGACAGUUUUUGGAAAGGGGCACCUUUGAGAAGAGUUUAAACUCUACCUUUGUGGUGCUGAUUCCAAAGAAAGGUGGAGCUAAAGAUUUAAAGGAUUUUAGACCCAUUAGCCUUGUUGGUAGUCUGUACAAGCUGUUAGCCAAAGUCUUGGCUAAUAGAUUGAAAUUAAUGAUGGGAAAAGUGGUGUCAGAUUUGCAGAAUGCGUUUGUGGAAAAAAGACAAAUUUUAGAUACAAUCCUUAUUACUAACAAAGCCAUUGACUCAAGAUUGAGGAGCCGUAGAGGGGGGAUUAUGUGUAAAUUAGACAUAGAGAAAGCCUAUGAUCAUGUAAACUGGAGUUUUCUAUUUAUUUUUUUGUUGGAUAAAAAGCAAUACAUUAAAACAAGGCAAACCAGAAAAGAGCCCUAAAGUACAUAGGAAGUAUACAAAGGACGCAAAAAAACACCUCAGAAAAGAGCAAGAUACCGACAAAAAUAGCAACCCGUCAAACAGAGCUUAACCAAUCUACAAAAUCAAUAAGGGAAAAAGGGACAGAAACUAAAAACCCCUUAGCCCACACCUAAAGGUUACAAAAAAAAAAAAAAAAAAUACACCUUUGCACUAAAUGACCCUCAUCUUCAAACGCCCAGUUGUUUCUUUCCUUUCAAACUAUCCAAAAAAAGCACAAGAGAGCAGCCCACCACACUUUUUUCCUCUUCUUACCCACAAAAGAACCAUGCCAACCUAACAACAUCUCUUUAACUGAUAACAGAAGCAUCCACAACACCCUAAACAAAGAAAACAAUAAGUGUCUGAGACUCUUUGCCAUAUCACAAUGCGAGAGGAUGUGAUCAAGAGACUCUUCCUCUAAAAGACACAAGUAACAUUGUUAGCCAAAGGCCACUCUCUCCUCUAAAUCCGAUCCAAGAUUAAAACCUUAUUCUAAGCAACCUCCUAAGCAAAGAAGCCCACCCUCGACAACACCCAUGAGUUCCAAAUUACACUUGCAGGAAAAUCCCAUUAUCUUUCCAGUUUCAAAGCCUUAUAAAGAGAUUUGACAGUAAAUUUACCAUCCUUUGACUUUGUCCAUACCACCUAGUCUUCCACAUCUCUACACACCCUUCUUCCUUGCAAACUUUGGAAAAAACGCUCCAUAUCAUUCACCUCCCAAUCGUUGAGUCGCUUAGAAAAAUAGGAAUCCCAAGCUCCCUCUCUAGAAUAGUUCCAAACAUCUUCCACUUAAGACUCCUUGGACGAGAAUAUAGCAAAUAAGGAGGGAAAAGACGUGCACAAAGGAGCAUUGCCACGCCAUUUGUCCUUCCAAAAUCUAACCCUCUUUCCAUUCCCCACAAUAAAAGUCAUGUUGUCGUCCAUCACAUCCCAUUCUUUUUUGAAAACUUUCCACAAGCCUACUCCAAACCUUUCUCUCACUUCACUUGAACGCCACUCACUCUCUUCUUCCCCAUACUUCCCACAAAUAACUUGUCUCUAAAAGGCCUCCUUCUCCACUGCAAAACACCAACUCCAUUUGCACAAGAAGGCCUUGUUGAGCAACGCUAAAUUCCUCACUCCUAAUCCACCCUUACGUUUAUCAUAGCAAACAAUAGACCAUCUUACUAAAUGAGGCUUCCUCUCAAGGACCCUUCCUCCCUAAAGAAAACCCCUUUGGAUUUGCUCCAACUUCAGUCUAACUCUCCUUGGAAUACAGAACAAAGACAAAAAAUAAAUAGGUAUACUGGAAAGAGUGUUUUGAAUUAAGGUAAGUCUACCCCCUUUAGAAAUAUACUGUUUUUUUCAAAUUGAUAAUCUUUUCCGAAGUCUUUCCUCCACGCCAUCCUAAACUACCACAUCCUUGAAACAAGCACCCAAGGGAAGACCUAAGUAAGAAAACGGGAACACACUAAGCUUGCAACCAAACUCUUCAACCAACUCUUCUACGUUCUCCACUUUCCCUACUGAAAUUAGCUCACUUUUUUCCAAAUUUACCCUCAAUCCUGACAUGGCAUCAAGUCACAUAAGUAACCAACUCAAAUAAGUCAACUGAUCUAGGGAAGGCUCACAGAAGACUAAUCUACGAACAACAAGUGAGAGAUUUCUACUCCCCCUCAUCCUCUAUCACUGAAACGCCACCUCAACAAAAAGCCUCCCUCAUUAGCUCUCUUCAACAAACAACUAAGGGUCUCUAUGACAAUCACAAAAAGGUAAGAGGAAAGAGGGUCCCCUUGCCUCAAACUCCGAGAGCUUUGCAAAACAUAUACAAUGUUCCAUUGAUAAGGAUAAAGAAGCUCACUGUAGAAAUACACCACUGAAUCUAACUGGUCCACUUAGCACCAAACCUCAUUUUUUCUAGCAUCCAAAAUAGGAAUUUCCAAUUACGUGGUCAUAAACCUUCUCGAUAUCAAGCUUGCACAGAAUACCACCACUAUUGCCUUUUUGCACAGAAUCAAUAGCCUCAUUAGCAAUCAAAGAAGCAUCAAGGAUUUGUCUACCUUUCACAAAGGCAUUUUGGGACCUGGAAACCACCUUUCCUGCCACCACCUUUACCCUAUUAGCUAAUACUUUAGCCAACAACUUGUAAAGGCUACCCACCAAGCUUAUAGGUCUAAAAUCCUUAAGAUCCUUAGCACCCCCUUCAUAGGAAUUAACACCAAAAAAAAAAACAUUAAUACUCUCCACAAAUCCACCCCGUUCAUGAAAGUCCUUAAGAAAUCCCAUAACUUUUUCAUUCAAAAAAUCCCAACUGAAUUGCCAAAGGGCCAUAGAGAAGUCAUCAGGACCAGGAGCUUUAUCCCCACUAAGAUCCGAGAGAGUACAAAAACUCUUUUCCUCAGAAAAUGAGACCUCUAACAUCGCUACAUCCUCACUUCCUUAAACCUCAACCGACAACUCAUCGCAAGUGGGUCUCCACUCCCCUGGUUCAAACAAAAAAGAGUGGAAGACCUGAACCACCCCUUCUUUGAUCUUUCUCUCCUCUGUUAACUAAGUCUCAUUGAUCUUGAUCUUCGCCAUGGAAUUUCCUCUCUUAUGGGCAAUGGCCAUUUUGUGGAGAAAACUAGUAUUUUUGUUUUCUUUUGUCAACCAUAACUCACUAGAUUUUUGCCUCUAAGAGGUUUCUUCCAUCAACACCCACUUCUUAUACUCCUCCAUGGCUUGCUUCCUAAGAUUCUCCUAUUUACCGGACAAAUCCCUAUUCCCUUUGACAGAAUCCCAAAACACCACCUGGUUCAAGGUUGACUUUUUUCUAGCAAAGGCAUUCCCAAACAUUUUUUGUUCCAAAUCUUCAUAUUAGCCUUAAUUGCUUUUAGUUUUUCAAAUAGAAAGAAACUAAAGAACCCUCUCAAAUAUAAACCCAACCACCAAGUUCUCAACAAAUCCUUAAAACCAUUAUCCUUUAACCACAUAUUUUCAAACCUGAAUGGGGAUGGAUCUUUCCUCAAGCCUCCACCAUCUAACAUAAUUGGGCAAUGGUCAGAAACAAGUUUAGGAAGAAGAUACUGAACAACCCCACUAAAAUAACAUUCUCGAUCCUCGGAGACUAAGAAUCUAUCCAAUCUUGACUGAAAUUAAUUGUUCAAGCCAUCCCUCCAUGUGAAUGAACCCCCCUACAAAGGGAGAUCUCGCAAUUCCAAGUCCUCAAUGACUUCUAAACAUCUUUUCAUUGUUGAGGUUGGCAACGGAGAAAGUCAAAUUUUGACAUGACAUGUGGUGUGAUGAUAUACCUUUAAAGGACUCUUUUCCUUCUUUAUUCACCUUAGGAGCUUCUAAGGAGGCAUGGGUGGAAGAUGUUUGGGAGGUAGAAGGAGGAAUGGUCACUUGGAACCCAUGCUUCUCAAGAAAUUUUCAUGAUUCAGAGAUGGAUGUUGUCCAAAUUUUAUUCGAAAACUUGAUGAGUUUGGCAGAAUUAGAGAUGGGAGGAUAAAAUGAUUUAGAAGGCUAGCAAGAGUGAGUUAUUUUCUGUGAGGUUUUUCUUUGUUGCAUUGAAGCGAAUGGUGAAGUGACUUUCCCCUCAAAGAUAGGAUAGGGAUCUUGGGCACCUACCAAAGUGAGUUUUUUUGCACGGGAAGCAACUUGGGGACAGAUCCCAACUAUGGACCAACUUAAGAGGAGAUGAUGGGUUUUGGUAGGUUUUUGUUGUAUGUGCAAAGAUGCAAAUGAAUCGGUAGAUCAUCUUCUCAUCCACUAUGGAAUAGUUAGAGAGUUAUGGCACUUUCUCCUCUUUUUUUUUUUUUUGGCAUCUUGUGGGUUCUCCCUUUUCCUAUUAAGUAUUUGUUAAUGGGUUGGCAUGGUAGCUUUGUGGGCAAGAAGAGAAUGAAGGUUUGGAGAACAACUCCUUGGAAGGAAUGAAACCGGGGAACCUUUGAAGGGAAGCAAUGCACUAUUCAAGCUCUUAAGGAUUCCCUAAUUACUAAUCUAUAUUUGUGGUCCCAAGGAUUUCUUCUUGGUGAUGAUCAGAGAGGUCCAUGUCUUUGUUAUAUUUAUAAAUUGGUUGUGCUCUAAGUCUUAAAAUAGGGUUGUAAUUAAAAUAGCCCGUUUUUGUUACUCAUUUGUAUACUUCCAGUAUACAGCACAUUAACUUGGCAUUUUUUUUUUCUAUAUAUAUUUAUACAUACUUUUAUUUAAUAAAAAAUAAACAUACAGUGAACCAUUCCUUAGCAACUACAAGCAACCAUCCAGGUGGCUGCAAGCCUGAGAAUGGGACCACGGCCAUUGCCAGAUGUCAUUGUCAUCCACCAGAGUGAACCCAAUUUUUUGUUUUUGGGACCCACCUCAAGAACUAGUUGAAGUUCGAGGGUCCACAAUAACACACAAACUGAGAUCAUAAUUCCUUACAGACCACCAUUGCAGCCACUUUCAGAACAGUCAUUUCCUCUCAAACAACUCAAAAACACCCAACCAGAACACAAGAAACCACCAUUGCACCCCCUCCAUAUCUUCAUUCUCUAAUAAAAAAAAAUCAGCAUCAAUGUCUCUAAAAAAUAAAUAAAUAAACCAAGCUAAAAUAAAACAAAAAAUCCCAAUUCAAAUUUCAACUAAGCUUUUGCUUCCCUUUUGAUUUCUUGCAGCCAAAACCAGCCGGCAGAUAUAAAAAUAAAUAAAUAAUAAACAAAAAUGGAUACAAAACAGGCUUUGACACACAGAAAAACGGCGGUUACUCACCCAGAUGGAACCGAUGCCCGCAGCCAAGCCGAACCACGGCUCGGGGCCCGUUCUCGAUGACUGGGUCGAUGCAAAUGGUGCAUAUGACCACGUUGUUGACGCUGUUACCGUUGUUAUUGCUCUCAUUGUUGUGGGUAUUGGCGGUGGCGGCCAGUGAGGCAUUUCCGGUGGGUUGUUGGGCCAUUGGAACAGUUGUUGCUUUCUUUGCUUCUUCUUCUUAAUCUCAACUCUAGAAAAGCUCCCAACUUCGAUCAGUGUAGUGGGUAGGCGGUUAUGAGUAAAGACAACGAGUAUUAAUACAGCCAACAUCUUCAAUGCGCCCCAGAAUCUCACCUCCUUUCUCUCCUCGUUGGCGUUUGCCAUAGCUAAUACCGGCAAAAGCUUCAGAUUUAGAAACGGCCUGGGAGGGAUUCGUACUGGCUCUCGAUCUCCUACGCUCCACUCCACCUUACUACCCUGACACCCUCAUCUCUGGUAGCCACGUGGCCACUUCUCUUGCGUGUCAUGUUCUGAUUAGUGGCUACUUCUUCGGUUCCGUGGGUUGCGCUGCGUGGAAUGCGGAACUCACCUUAAUGUCCGUUCUCACCCAAUAGAGUAACCAAGUAGCCUCAUCAAAUCCUAUUCACACAUUAUGAUUUUACAAUUCUCUCCUUGUCUUUAUGAUUAAAAAGAUAGAAUGCAGGGGUAACCGAUUAAAAAGCAUAAAAUAAGAGUGGGAGGUUAGAUUUGUAAUUCCACAGUGAUUUUAUGCCUUUUAAUGGGUUAUCCCCAGAAUUUAUGUCAAUAAUUAUUAAUUUGCCACCUGCAUUAAUGAAUUAAAUACCUAUUUUCUACUUUUAAGUUUGUGAAUUUAGUGUGUCUUUGAUAUUAUUCAUUGUAGUAUAAUUAUAUACAUACAUUAUUGAUAAAAAUAAUAUUAUUAUUUUUUUUAUAAUAUAAAUGUAAAAAUAAGAGCAGCAUCGUUUGGGCAACUCAUCAUCAAGCUUAAGAGCAGCAUCAAUCUCAAGAGCAACAUCAAUGGCCCCCAUCAUGACCAAACCUAUAAACCUAACUUUGAUAUUAAUUAUCGAUUUGAACUUUAACCAUCUCAUCUUAAAGCCAAUUGAUUAUAGUUGUCGUCAAAAUUGUGUUAAGAAACCCCAUUUAACCAAUUUAUCCUAUUAAUUUAAGGCAAAGCUUAUAUUAAGUGAUCAGGGUCACGAUUCAAUGAGUAAUCCAAAACCAAAAUGUAUCUACAAUUAAUGUGUAAGUUAGAAUCUUGUAAUCAUUGACAAUGGAUUCCAAUAAUGGUAAACUUUUUACUAGAAUCAAUACAUAUAUACUUGAUAUCGUGUUUUUACAUGAAAGAUAUAAGCAAACCAUUGCCAAGACCUUAUAUUUUUUUAACCUUUUACCAUACUUCGAGCUUGAACUUUAUCAUCAAAUAACAUGUUUUAGUAUUGCUAAUCUUUUUAUAGGUUUUGAACCAGUGCAUUGCUGUGUGAGGGUGCUCUACGUGAAUUUAGUUAUUAAGAAUAACUGCUCAAUAAUUGACAUAAUUUUUGAGAAGCAAAUAAAAAAUUAUAGUUUUAACUAAAACUAUAAGCACGAGCACAAUGAAGGAAGAUCGAAAUAUACACGUCAUCCUUUACAAAUAAAUAAAAGCAAUAAAUACAAAGUCAUAACAAGUCAAACAUCACCAACAAGUGAAAACCCAAUUACAAAUUACAAACCAAAUGUGAUAAUAAAAAUUAGGAUCUUAAGACUUUAUUAGAAAUGUAAAUAUUGGAUAUUUAAGUCCUAUAAAUUCGUAUAAUCGACUUGGCUACUACCUAUCAAACUAUUCCUCUAGCAACCUAUCACAUAGUUAUGGCAGACAUCACACAACACUGACCCUAAGCAAAAAAAUCUAAAACUAUUCUCUAAAGUAAUAUAUAAAUGAUAGUCAAACUCGAGCACCAUACAGUAAAAAGGUCGUCGAACUUAGGUACUAUGACACAAACUAAAUUCCAAGCUCCAAUACAUUAUAAAAAAAUGCUUCUUAAGACAAGACAAAAAGAUGGAUGAACUUAUAUUUUAAAACUUGAUUAAAAAUUAAGGUAUUAAUUUAAAAAAAUUUUAAAAUAUUUUUAAAGAUACAAGCUAAUUCUAUACUCUUUAUAUUAAAAUUUUUACUUUUCAUAUAGAAGUUUUUAUUUUUAAAAAUAAAGAAAGUUACGUGUACCCAAAAAAAAGUACUUAAAAUUUUUUAAGCAUAAAAGAAAUUUAUUUAUUUUUAUAUAUAAAAUAUAAUAUGAUUGGAAGUCUUGCGUGUGAAAUCUACAAUUAGGAAUAAAAGUCAAAAGAGGAAAGGACUUGAUUGGGAAUUAUAGAGAAAGAAGGACCUGUUUCCGUAAAAUCAGGCCAAAACCCUCUUGUAUAAAUAUCAAUGGUCGAAGCAACUAACAAACCCUCUCGCUCUCUCACCGCUCCAUCUCUCCCUGCGUUUUCGAUUCUGCUUUUUGGAGCGAUCAGAGAGAGACUUUGCUGCCACCAUGCUUGUCUAUCAGGAUUUGCUCACCGGUAAUCUCCUCUUUCUUUCUUUGUUUUCUGAUUUAAUACGCCUUCGAUUUUAUGCCUUUUAGGGUUUCUUUUUCUACUCCUAGAUCUGUAUUUGCUUUAGGGGUUUCUGGGCUGCUUUUGUGAUUUGAUUGGUGAUCUCUUUUAUCUCAUGUUCGAUUCUUUGUUUUGAAUGAUCUGUUGUUUACUUUUAGUUUACCUGUUAUUCGAUUCUCGAUUUUGAUUGGUUUGCUGUUACUUUUGGGUUUACUUGCUAUGUCUAGAUCUGCUUUCUUAAUUCUUGAUUCUCUACAGAUGUAAAAGUAAAGUAAGCUUUUUGUAUGGGGUUGUUUUAAUCCUUUACAAAAUAUAGAAGGUAAACCUUUUGUAUUGAGUUAUUGGGUUCACUAUUGGUGUUGCUGCUGCCUCUUGACGAGAUAAUUUGUUGAGUAUCAGUAUGCUUUUAUCAUUGGAAGCGUUUGAUGAGUAUACACAAUAACGAAAUUGUCUAUCUAGCUUGGUAUGUGUACCACCCAAUAUUCUUGAAACUUAUAUAUGCCUAUGUUGUAUGUAUAUGUAGUGUAUGGAAACCCUUUUGCCUUUAAUAUCAAGUUGGCUGUUAAGUGUUCACUGGAUGUUUAGUUUUGCUAUUGAUGGUAUAUGCCUGAUUCUGGCCCUAUAGGAAAAGAAGAGGGGGGUGGGGGGUGGGGGGUUGGGGUGGUUGUUGGGUUGGCACAUCUUUGUUUUUCUAUGUCCUGCAAAUCUGUUCAUUUAGGUGGACUGCUGUCAUUCAGUUAUUGAUCAUGAAUGCAUUCUUUGUUGUUUUCAGCUGAUGAGCUUCUUUCCGACUCAUUCCCAUACAAGGAGCUCUUCAAUGGAGCCCUCUGGGAAGUUGAAGGAAAGGUUAGCAUAUCUAACUUUGUGGUUCCCUUUAUAUUUGUUCCUUAUAUCAUGGCGUGCAAAAGCAAUCCUGUCAAAUUUUCAAUUUGAGUCCUAGAGUUUCGAAUAUUAAAGAUAAUAUACACUCUAAAAACGUGUUAUAUAUAUAGCUAAUCCUAUAUUGGUUAUUAAAUCGUGUUAGUGUCUAAUGUCACAAUUUAUGUAUUACAUGGUUUAUUCCAGUGGGUUGUUCAAGGAGCCAUUGAUGUAGACAUUGGUGCAAAUCCUUCGGCUGAAGGUGGUGAAGAAGAGGGUGUUGAUGAUCAAACUGUCAAAGUGGUUGACAUUGUCGACACAUUUAGGCUUCAGGUUGGUGCUGCCCGUUAAUCUAUAUUUUAAUUUUUGAAAGAGGAUAUUGAAUAUAUAAAGUAGCAACUAGAAUCUGACAAGUAAUGAGAUGUUCCUUUUACAGGAGCAACCACCAUUUGACAAGAAGCAGUUUGUCACUUACAUGAAGAGAUACAUCAAGUUGUUGACACCUAAGCUUGAGGGGGAGAAGCAAGAGGAAUUCAAGAAAAAUAUUGAGGGAGCAACUAAGUUCCUGCUGUCAAAGCUCAGUGAUCUUCAAUUGUGAGUGCUUAUUUGGUUGACUCUGAUGGCCUUCACUCUUUUGUAAUUUAUGGAUAAGCUCCUUACUGAGUCUUUUUUUACAGUUUUGUCGGAGAGAGCAUGCAUGAUGAUGGCUCCCUGGUAUUUGCUUACUACAAGGAUGGAGCCACUGACCCUACAUUUUUGUACUUCGGCCAUGGGUUGAAGGAGAUCAAGUGUUAAGCAAGCACUGGGCCUCAUAAGACUUAAAGGACAAGUUGCAUGCUGUAGUUCUAGUUUUUAUGGUUGCGAAUUUUUCUUUUUUACUUUUAUGUGUCCAUGACUAAAGAGGCAUCAAGC